GAAUCCUUACUAGGGAUAGGAAUCAAUGAUGUUCGGAUUGUGGGGAUUUGGGGCAUGGGGGGAGUCGGUAAAACGACAAUAGCUAGAGCUAUGUUUGAUACUCUCUUAGUAAAAAGGGAUAGUUCUUAUCAAUUUGAUGGUGCUUGUUUCCUUGCGAAUAUUAAAGAAAACAAACGUGGAAUGCAUUCUCUGCAAAAUAUCCUUCUCUCUGAACUUUUAAAGGAAAAAGCUAAUAACAAUAGUGAGGAGGACGGAAAGCACCAAAUGGCUAGUAGGUUUCGUUCUAAGAAGGUCCUAAUUGUGCUUGAUGACAUAGAUGAUAAAGAUCAUUAUUUGGAGUAUUUAGCAGGUCAUCUUGAUUGGUUUGGUAAUGGCAGUAGAAUUAUUGUAACAACUAGAGACAAGCAUUUGAUAGGGAAGAAUGAUGUAAUAUAUGAAGUGACUGCACUACCUGACCAUGAAUCCAUUCAAUUGUUCUAUCAGCAUGCUUUCAAAAAAGAGGUUCCAAAUGAGCAUUUUAAGGAGCUUUCAUUGGAGGUAGUAAAUUAUGCUAAAGGCCUUCCUUUAGCCCUCAGAGUGUGGGGUUCUUUGCUACAUAACCUAGGCCUAACUGAAUGGAAAAGUGCUAUAGAGCACAUGAAAAAUUACUCUAAUUCUGGAAUUGUUGAUAAGCUCAAAAUUAGUUAUGAUGGAUUAGAGCCCAAACAACAAGAGAUGUUUCUAGAUAUAGCAUGCUUCUUCCGAGGGGCAAAAAAAGAGUAUGCCAUGCAAAUUCUUGAGAGUUGUCAUUGUGCAGCUGAAUACGGAUUGCGUGUCUUAAUUGACAAAUCUCUUGUGUCCAUCAUUGAAAAUGAUCGUAUUCAAAUGCAUGACUUAAUGCAAGAUAUGGGUAAAUAUAUAGUGAACUUGCAAAAGGAUUCGGGGGAAUGCAGCAGGCUAUGGCUCGACGAGGAUUUUGAAGAAGUGAUGAUCAACAAUAAGGUAAGUAGGCUUAACAAUGCAAUAAUAUUUAAUUUCUAAUUUUCAUAUUCCAAAGACAUAUGGGGCAGUCAACUCCAUUUAUUUGUCCCCCUGCUUCAUAGUCUUGCAGGUACGUCAUUUUAGUUGUUUACUUUAGUUAGUAGAAGAAGCAAAAGUAAUAAUAAUUGCCUAAUAAGAUAAAAAAAAUUAAUUGCCUAAUUCGUUUAGUAGCCUCUUUAAUUUACGUCGCCUAAUUCGUUUUUCUUAUAUUUUUAAGCGAUGGAUUAGUCUAGUAGCCACUUAAUGUGUUUGAUCCAAUGUCAUUCUUUGGAUUAACUUGAAAAUUUUAUGACAUUUUAUUACAUAAUAACUCAAUCAAACAUUCACUUUACCAUUAUUAUUUUUAUAAAAAAGUUACAAUUUAUUGGUCCUGUUUCAAUUACAAUUACUUUCUAUCACAACAUGAAAAGCUUAUAGACUUGACUCUAAUGAACUUCUAAGAAAAAUGUAAUAAUUGAAAAUAAAACUAUAGAAUUAAUUGCAAAAAGUAUUUUUCUGAAGUAACGUCAGUAUUUCUUAAAAAGAAUCUAAUUAAUAUUGUAUCUUAUACUUUGGCAUUGCAAAGAGUGAGAAAGUAGUCAUAUUAGCAAGCGGAUUUUAUACUACGUCUGAAAUUAUACUUUGUAGACUAAUGAUCUUCUUACCAGGGGACCACGAAAAUGGAAGCAAUCUGGUUUCCUUAUUACCAUUGUGGUACAUUACGCUUUAGCAAAGAGGCCAUGAAAAAUAUGAAAAAGCUUAGGAUAUUAAACAUAGAGAGGUCGUGUACCUGUGAUGGUUCUAUUGAGUAUCUGCCCAACAACUUGCGUUGGUUUGUAUGGAAAUGCUAUCCUUGGGAGUCAUUGCCAGCUGAAUUUGAACCCAAAAAGCUUGUUCAUCUUGCAGUCAAAUCCAGUUCACUAUGUUAUUUAUGGACGGGAACAAAGGUACAAUAGUUGAGUUCUAUUUUACUUAUAUUUUUCUCUCUAUCUAUCUUUGUCCUUUAAUUUAGUGAUAAUGAACAAAUAUUAUUACUUUUUUCACGUAUUAUUUGAGGUACUUUCUAUUUUGGCUAGAAUUAUGAUGCAUGUCUUUAAAUGAACAAAAGUUAUUAAUUCCAUACGCUCAAAUUAAUGUAUUUCCAUCUCCAAAAAAUUAUUGUAUUUUAUAUUAUUUAUGGUUGUUCUAAGUACUAUUGUAAGAUCUUUAUGUCUUUUUUUUCUCCAAAUCUUCCCAUCAUCAUUUUAACUAAGAUGCUCAAUUUAAAAACUAAUUCAAUUAUUUCUCAUAGUAAGAUUAGAUUCAUAGAAAUUUCAUCCUAGGUUGUACAUAGUGGGACGGAAGUAAUACUUAUUAGUAAAACAAAAGGAGUUUAUUCUGUACAACUAUUCUAAGUUACUCGGACACGGGUGUAGGUGUCCAACAUGGGUGCGGAUCUAGAAGUCGGAUCCUUUGAGAUGUAAAUUCUAAGAUUCGUGGAUACGGAUCCUAGUACGGAUACGGGUGCAAGGAUCCGGCUAAAAAUAAUUCAAAAAAUAAAAAUAUAAAAAAUAUUUCUAAAUUAUGAUAAAUUUUGGGGAAUACUUAUGUAUAGCUUGUAAAGUGUGAAUUUCUUUUUUAUUCUCAAGUUGUAGAUAAGAAAAAGAUUGAUUUCCUAGAUAAGGUAUGCUAUUUUAUUCAAAUUUAUCCUAAUUUUGGUUUUGAUUUCGGGAAUUAAAUUGUAUAUCAUCUCGAAUUUUUUCGUCCGUCAUGGUCAAAGUAUCCAAAAUCGUUUGACCAGAUCCGGUAUGGAUCCCAUACCUACACCCAUACUAGUGUCAUGUCGAUACGGGUGCGGCACCUAAACUGCCAUGUCGGAGCAACUUAGCAACUAUUUUCUCGAAUGACGUGUACACUUUCAUACAUUGCUUCCGGAUUUAACAUUUGGGUUUCCCCAUUUUAUAUUACCCUUCUUUGAAGCACUUUUCUCUUUGCUGCAGGUUUUUUCAAUCAUUUUUAAUUGAAUUUAGCAAUAUUAUUUUAAUUAUAAUUUACUUUUAUUCAGUUUCUAAACAAGUAAUUUUCCAUAUAUAAAAAAUAAAUUUCUGAUUUCAUACAAAAUAAUGUGUUGGCCCUCAUAAUUCAAAUGCUAUCAUUCAUUUGUUGUCGAGGGAGUCAUAAAUGGAUUACUUUUUAGGAACGCUAGCAACAAGUAAUUAAGAAUUUAAGAAACAGAGGUCAUUUGAUGCCCACAAAUACAAAUGAUAAAACAAAAUAGUUUCUACAUUCAUAGAUAGCCCCACUAGCCAAAUAUUUUAUUAUUGGAAUCCAGUGGAGGAGCAAAAUAGGUUCUUUUUUUCUUCUCUCUCUAUCUCAUUCCAUUUGCAUUCUGAACAGCAAUUGUCGUCUCUACGGACGCUAGAUCUCAGAUACUCUGAAAGCCUGGUGCGAACGCCAGAUUUCACGGGGAUGCCAAAUUUGGAGUAUUUGAAUCUGGAGGAAUGUUGUGAUCUUGAAGAGGUUCACCAUUCCUUGGGAUUUUGCAGAAAACUCAUUCGGUUAAAUUUGGAGUCUUGUGGACGCCUUAAUUGGUUUCCAUGUGUUAACGUGGAAUCUCUUGAAUAUCUGGAUCUAGAUUUUUGCUGUAGUUUAGAGAAAUUUCCAGAAAUCCAUGGGAGAAUGAAGCCGGAGAUACAGAUUCACAUGAAACGCUCUGGGAUAAGGGAACUACCAUCAUCUAUUAUUCAGUACCAAACUCAUAUUACCUUCCUAGAUUUGAGCGCUAUGAAAAACCUUGUAGCUCUUCCAAGCAGCAUCUGUAGGUUGAAAAGUUUGGUUAGUCUAAAUGUGUCGGGCUGCACAAAACUUGAAAGCUUGCCAGAAGAGAUAGGGGAUUUAGAAAACUUGGAGGAGCUUUAUGCAAGGUAUGCUCUAAUUUCACGACCUCCGUCUACCAUCGUACGCUUGAACAAACUUAAAAUCCUGAAGUUUGGAGGCCUCCAAGAUGGAGUGCACUUUGAGUUCCCUCCAGCGGCUGAAGGAUUACGGUCAUUGGAACAUCUGGAUCUCACUUGUUGCAAUCUAAUAGAUGGAGGACUUCCGGAAGACAUUGGAUGCCUAUCUUCUUUGAAAGAAUUGUAUCUCAGUGGAAAUAAUUUUGAGCAUUUGCCUCGAAGUAUAGCCCAACUUGGUGCUCUUCGAAUCUUGAACUUAAGAAAUUGCAAGAGGCUUACACAGCUGCCAGAACUUCCACCAGAAUCAGAUACAAUAUAUGCAGAUUGGAGCAAUGAUUUGAUCUGUAAUUCGUUGUUUCAGAAUAUCUCGUCAGUGCAGCAUGACAUCUCUGCUUCAGAUUCCUUGUCACUAAGAGUAUUUACCAGUGUGCAUCUUGGGAAGAAGCCAAGUUGGUUCCUCUAUCAGGGAACAGAUAGUGGUGUAUCAGUCAAUACGGAUAGUGGUGUGUCAGUCAAUUUGCCUGGAAAUUGGUAUAUACCUGAUAAAUUCUUGGGAUUUGCUGUAUAUUACUCUGGCAGCUUAAUUGGCACCACAGCUCAAUUGAUUCCCGUAUGUGAUGAUGGGAUGUUGUGGAUGACCCAGAAACUUGCCUUAUCCAACCAUUCAGAAUGUGAUACAAAAUAUAAUAUUAAUUUUUUCUUGGUACCUCUUGCUGGCUUAUGGGAUACAUCUAAGGCAAAUGGAAAAACACCAAAUGACUAUGGGCUUAUUAGGCUAUCUUUUUCUGGAGAAGUGAAGAAGUGUGGACUUCGUUUGUUGUAUAAAGAAGAACCUGAGGUUGAGGCCUUGUUACAAAUGAGGGAAAAUAACCAUGAACCAACAGAACAUUCCACUUGGAUAAGGAGGACCCGAUAUAACAAUAGUGAACACGACUUCGUGAUCAAUGAAGCCAGCUGCUCCUCGGGUAAGAAACAAAAGAGUCACAUUUCUAAUAUUCAGGGGAGCUCUGUCUUUGAGAAUCUGCAGCAACAAGUAGAGGGGCCUGUCUCUUCAGAAACUUUGCAGCUCUUUCCUGCAAACCCAGGAUUUUAGCUCAGAUAGAGGUAUAUACCUCAUGCCUUGUUUUUUUUUUUCUAGUUGGUAUUGAAAUUUGUGUUCUCUCCUUCUAUUAGCUACAAAGUCUUCUUCCAAAAAUAUAUUUUCUUCUCAUUCUUUCUUACUUUUUCCUUUUUCGUUUUCUUUCCCCUAUUUACAGGAGCUCAUCAAUGGGUGAUGUACAUAUCAACAAUGAGUUUUUGUCUAUUGAUUCUCCAUCUUAACCAUGGUGAGUUAAAGGAUUCCAACAAGUAUAACUUUUUGUGCUCAAAUCAGAACCUGGAAUUGUGAAUGUGGAGAAAGCUGAGUACGAGAUGAAGUUGAGGUUCGUUCUCCCUCGUGAUCUCUCAGGCCAGGAAGUGAUUUAUGUAAUUAGAGAACCUAAGACUAUCAUCUGUAACCACCUUUUAGUAGGUGGAUUUCGUUCCAAAAGUUAAUUACCCUGUGAAUAAUGAUCAUUGGAGUGAUGAAAGAUGUUAUCCAAAUAGUAUUGAAUGGAUCGGCGGAAGUUUCUCCUGACUUGUGAAUGAUGCUGUAAGAUGGAUUCUAACUAAUGCAAUUUUGGAUAAACUGACGAAAUUGAUGUUAGGUUUUGGUGGCUUGUGAUUCCCCAUGAUAGCCAGGUGAAUUUUCAUUAGCUCACAAAACUGCUAGAAAUAGAGUAACUUUACUUUAUUUCUUUUUGUUGUUAUACCAUUCUUUGUCUAUAACACCAAAAGAGAAAAAGUCAAUAAUUUAUAUGAACCGCUGUGUGCAUACAAGGAUGCUUCAUACUUUUUUGUAUUAUCUUAUCACAAACGAGUCAGUUGAUUCAAAGAGGCAAAUUACUAUCUUUGGUGACAUAUUUUUGUUUGUUUUGUUAGUACUAUUCAUUCUGUCUGGUUUUUCAUAACCAAGUUGGUUUCAUUAUGUAGGCAUAUUAUAUUAAUUAAUCUACUUUGGGGAUUGUUCAACUCAAGUAUCAAUUUUAAGAUAUGUGUGUAUAGCCCAAAUUGCUACACUAUUGUAAUUUUGCUCUUUCACCUCUUUGUCGCCCUCCCUAUGAUUAAACUUAGUUCUCUGUUUGGCUUCUUUAAAGCAACGAUUCCUGUGCCUUGAUUCUUUCUUGUUUCCUGUCUUUGUUAUCUUACUACCUUUUCUGGUGUUUUGCAGUGUAUUACCUUUCAUUCGUUGAAGAGUUUUAGAAUUGCAAUCUCAACAUGUCAGUGCGCUUCCCUCGGGACAUGUGAAAGGUGUCUUGCAGAUAAGCUGUUCUUAAACCAGUCCAUCAAAAUUGCAGUCUUUAUACACUAGCGAUGAAAGGCAAUAUGUUUCUCUGCAAUUUGAGAAAAUGCCUAAAAAUCUACUAGAGGAAGCAAGUAUAUCUUUUUUCAGCCUCGAGGAUCUGUCAUGAGCAAUGGAAAUUACAAACAGAACAUGAGUAAGCUUCAGAUGUGACAUUCAAAGAUGACCUUAUGCCAAGUUCAACAGCUUUGUUGAAAAUGCAAGUUCUGGCUCAGAGAUAAAAACAGAUUUCGAGUAUCCUUGUCUCACUCCUAAACUGGAUAAACAUACAGAGACCUGAUCCUAGCAGUUUUUUCCAUUUGCAAUGUUAUGUAAUUAUGCAGGAAAAACAGUUCCAGGUGGUUGCAUUUCAUCAGUUAGUUAAUUUUACUGGGGUUUGGUAGGGUGAAUUAGUUUGGCAGGGUGAAUUCUUUGACGCAUAAUAGUUGCAAGAAAACUCAGGCUGCUUCGAGUUUUGCCUGACAAGUGCAGAUGAAAAGCUUUUGAGAAAGCAUAUGUACAUGUAAAAGAAAACUCAGGUUGCGGCCAAACUGCAUAAAGAAAGGAAACUUUUUUCAAAGUGCUUUAGGUAGCUUAGUUAGACUGAAAAUCCUGUGUGGUUCGAAUUCUCAUCAACGAAAGAGAAUGCCGGAUAUCGGACUUGGGUCAGAUCAUCAGGCUCAUGACCGGAAGAUUACAAGUUCGAAUCCUGUCCCCGCCUAAUCAGUGGAACAUUGUUCACUAGGAUAGAAGGCAGGUAAUGCCAAUUGGCAAAGUGACGUUAAGCUUCCCUAGCAGUACAAAAAGAGAGACCGUGAUAAUAUCAUCUACGUCUGCUCCUCGUUGAGUAGAUUCAAUAAGACUUGAUCCGCUCCUAGCUACUUCGGGGUGCCAUAGGAUGCCGGGAAUAAGGGGGGACAUACUCGAUGUGACCACUCCCUUUGUUGGGGGCUUGUCGCCCUGCUCUUCGAGUCUCAACUUACAAGUAUCCGUUGGUUCACUAUUUCUUAACGUGUCUACACAACUUAUGCAAAAUCAUGCAUACGCCACUGGUUGAAUCGUUCUUUUAUAUCUACUAAAUUGGUCAACUUAUCUCCAGUUUCGCUUAGUCUUUUGAGAGAAAAUGAUUGAAUUAUAACUUAUUGCGGUCUAAUUUGAUGAUAUGGAAGACCGCCGAGACCAAAUUACUAAAUUCAGAUCCAUCAAGUAUCCAAAUGGUUUAUAGGUAAAGUUAAGUUUGUUGUAUGCCAAAUAUAGCAUGGGUUUGGACAAUUUUUUACCUCAAAAUUUAUGAAUUGAGUUCCUUUCAGUGUGGAACAAGAUUAUGAACUAGUUAAGAAUUUAGCCUAGAUUCAUGAAUUUGGGAAUUUGGAUGCUGAACAUUAAUAGAGUUUGAUUUUCCACCAUUUGUUGGUAGGAAAUGUAUUAAAAACAUGAAAUUGAGGAAUAUUGUUAUGGAUGCGAUGAAAAAAAAAUGAUACUCCCCCUAUCCAAUUUUAAUUGUCGUUUUUGCCCAAAAAUGUUUCAAAAAAUCCGUGGCUUUAAAAAUUUAACAAAAUUAUUAUUUUUUCUUUCAAUUUUACUCUUGCUAUUUAAUAGAUUGAAAGUAAUUAUUAGUAGGUACUCGCUUUUUAAUAUUAGCAUUUAAUAGUCAAGGAAAUAAAUAAGGUUGAUUUAGUAAAUUACAGCUAGCACUUAAUACUCUCUCCGUUCACUUUUACUUGGCAUGUAUACUAAAAAUAGAUUUUUAUUUUUACUUGUCACUUUACUCAUAUCAAGAGAAGACAAUAUUUUUUUUCCAGUUAUACUCACAGUAUUUAUUACUCAUUUCAAAUUAUUUUCUCAAAUCCAAUAAAAAAUAUAUCAAUUAAUAUGGGUAUCAUGGUAAAUUAUACACUUCAUUUAUUAUUUCUUAAGGGGUGUGAAAAGUCAAAACGUGCCAAGUAAAAGUGAACGGAGGGAGUACUAAUGUUUUCUUAAUGAAUUUAAAUGUUGAUUCAAUUUUAUUUAAUACUCAGAAUUUAUUGGGGUUUCGAAAAGUAGGCAACAGAGCUAGAGGAAAAUGCACUGCAAUUUUGCAACAAGCGACAAAGGAUAUAAUGCAUAUAUCAAAAUUGCUUCUUCUUCCCAAAAGGAAAAAUUGACAAUAUAGAUUUUCAAGUCAUCGACAUGGACGUUACAAAGGUAAAGUUUGUUGUAAUUAAUUACAGCAGUUGAUCCUUCUAUAUAAAACAAUGGAGAAAAGUAACAUUCUUCUCAUUUAUGGACCUAUAUUUGUUGUCACUUUCUAUAUGCGCAAAGAAAAAUAAGACUAUAGUACCAGUGGCGGAGUCAGGAUUUUCAUUAAGGAAAGUUAAAAUAUAAAGAAAUAAACUCAUCAAAAAGUCAAAUGGUGUCAUUAUAUAGUAUAUAUACAUAUUUAUAUAAAAAUUAUCGAGGUAUACAGUAUAAUUUUCCGGCGACUUUGGUGCAUGUGGCUCUGCCACUGCAUAGUACUGCUUAAGAAGAAGCUCCACAAAAAACUCCUACUAUUUACUUUAUAUUAGGGGUAGACAGAGGCGGAUCCAGAAUUUUAGGAGGAUUGGUACAUUAUUACGGAGAGGUGAAUCCAGGAUAUAAAUUCUAUAGGUUCAAUGUUUGGUUCUUAAUAUUGCACCCAUUAUACGUUUGGAAUUAUAAGUUCAAAACUAUUAUUUUUAAUAAUAAUUUUCUUACAUCUAUAUCCAUACUUCGUGCUGAAAAUGUUGGGAUAAGUUGAACCUAAUAGCUAUAUAUUGCAUCAUCCACUAGUUUAAUAUGCACAUUUUAUUUAAUCAUAUAAGAUUUUUCGGUGACGAAAAAAAAUAAUAAUUUCAAUAUGUGAAUUUUUUUAAAGAAUAAAUCAAAAAGAAAGAAAGAAAAAGAAAUGCACUUAAUUAAUACACACCAUGUGAUGCCUAGUUUUAGAAAGAAAAAAAAUAAUAAGAUUGAUGUAAGAUUUGAACACACACUGUCACUUAGAGAGAUGCACCUAAUAUUAUAUAUGAUCUAGGGAGAAGAGCAUGGAUUUACGUCCUUCGAAGUAAUACUGAAUGUAACCCUACCAUAUAUAAUGCUACAUUAUCCAAUAGCAAUAAUGUAUGGAGUAGAGCCCAUCUUUUUAACGUAAACUUUCUAUNNNNNNNNNNNNNNNNNNNNNNNNNGAAAUGUUGGGAUAAGUUGAACCUAAUAGCUAUAUAUUGCAUCAUCCACUAGUUUAAUAUGCACAUUUUAUUUAAUCAUAUAAGAUUUUCGGUGACGAAAAUAAUAAUUUCAAUAUGUGAAUUUUUUAAAGAAUAAAUCAAAAAGAAAGAAAGAAAAAGAAAUGCACUUAAUUAAUACACACCAUGUGAUGCCUAGUUUUAGAAAGAAAAAAUAAUAAGAUUGAUGUAAGAUUUGAACACACACUGUCACUUAGAGAGAUGCACCUAAUAUUAUAUAUGAUCUAGGGAGAAGAGCAUGGAUUUACGUCCUUCGAAGUAAUACUGAAUGUAACCCUACCAUAUAUAAUGCUACAUUAUCCAAUAGCAAUAAUUGUAUGGAGUAGAGCCCAUCUUUUUUAGAAACUUUUCAUUUUUGGAGUGAUAAUUAUUUAUUUCUUGUCUUCUUUUCUUAACUUAGUCGGAAAUAUCAUCAAUUGUCUUCCUACAACAACCACAAUAUAUCUAUACAAUUUUCUUUUUUCUUCUUUAGACAAUUAACUAAAUCCAUGGCAUCAUUAUCUUCUUCUUCUGCUAUAGCCCACGCCUUUUGCUUGAGCCCGGUCCUCUGGACCCGGAUCGCCUAAAAUUUAGUCGGAUAACUGACAUUGACCUACGUAAAAUUGGUCACUAACCCGCCAUGACCGUUCCUUAUAUUUUAGCAAUUUAGGGCCAUAAAAUGAGAACUCAGCCCUUCUAGUUUUUAACAAAUUAUGAUAAAUCGAGUUAGGAACUUCCGAAUUCGAUUCUGAGCAUACGCCCAAGUCCCAAAUCACGAUACGGACCCACCAGGACCGUCAAAAUACUGAUUUGGGUCCAUUUACUUAAAAUGUUGACCGAAGUCAAACCUAGUAGAAGGUUAACAUCGCAAAUACGAUCUCCCACCUUGCAUUUGCGAGGCCUACAACACAUGUUCACGCCAACAACAUUAAAACUCUCCCAAAUACUCCGAAAUGCAUACGACACUCACCCGGACCAUCGGGGCUCCAAACCAAACACCAACACAAGUCUAAAAUCAUAACACGAACUCGCUCACACGAUCAAAUCAUCAAUAUAACAUCCGAAAUCACGAAUCGGACCACUUCGCAUUCGCGUACAGCCCUUUGCGUUCGCAUAAGGCAAAAUUCCACCUAGCCCGUUCACUCUACACGUUCGCGGUUGUGCCUUAGCGAACGCGAAGAAGGAAAAUAGAUGACAACUGAAGCUAAGUAAAAACCUGAUUUUCUAAGUUUCAAACCACCCGUAGCCUAUCCGAAAUUCACCCGAGCCCCCGGGGCUCCAAAUCAAACAUGCACACAAGUCCAAAAAUAUCAUACGAACUUGCUAGCACGAUCAAAAUACCAAAAUCAUGAAUUACUUUUAAUGUUUGCAUCCUUUAUUGAUUAAAGUACUUGAAUCAUAUUGAAAAUUGUUAGAUGAUAUAGUAAAAGACCGAAAUUUUACAUACUUGAAUUUUUGUGCAAAUUACUCGAUCGUUAAUAAAAAUUAUAUAUCCUUAUGUGUUAGCCUUGUGAUAGCUUCUCAUUCCGGAGGUUCAUAAAAUGUCCUCCUUUCUUGUAGAGCGAGCCGAACGCCUCGGCAAUAUAGAUGCAUCUAUGGAUCGUGUCGUACGUCCCUCGGUAGUGUACACGUUAUUCCGGAUCGGGCCCAUAAAAAUGACCUAAGGAAAAUUAGUCAUCGCCUCUCCAUGACCGUUUCUCGUUUUUUGGUAUUUUAUGGCCAUAAAACUGGAAUUUUACCCGAUUCUCAUAUUUCAAUGUGAUAUAGCCCACACCAUCUGCAUGGGCUCCGAAGGCCGGACCCGAAUUGCCUAAAAUUUUGCUGGCCCAUCAAAAACGACCUAAAAAAUAUUAGUCAUCGCCUCACCAUGACUGUUCCAUCUAAUUGUUAUGUAUCUUAGUUAACCUCUUUGAGCCUGUAAUCUUGUUUCUUUGGCAAUCACAUUACAAAAACUUCAUGCUAAUAUAGCAUGAAGUUAUUUCACAUUGAAGCUAAAACUUCAUGUUAAUGCAUGCUGAAGUUAUUUAUCCUGCAGUCUACAAUUUUAUCCGAAGCUUCAGUUUAAACAUGUUGAAGUUAUUUAGUUCAUUUGCUAAAACUUCAGACUAAACAUGCUGAAGUUAUUUAGUUGCUUUGCUAAAACUUCAGACUAAACAUGCUUAAGUUAUUUAGUUCAUUUGCUAAAACUUCAAAUCCGAUAUAUCCUAUUUGAGGGAGGAUAGACCCGAUAUAUCCUAUUUGAGGGCGGAUGGACCCGAUAUAUCCUAUUUGGCUGCGGAUAAAUCCGAUAUAUCCUAUUUGACUGCGGAUAAAUCUGAUAUAUCCUAUUUGAGGGUGGAUGGACCCGAUAUAUCAUAUUUGAGGGCGGAUGGACCCGAUGGUCGGGUCGGGCCUGGGACCACGAGCUAGGACCGUUUGGCCCACUAGAGGUGGGCUCGUACUGGUCUCGUGGGCUGGUUCUAAGCUAGGAACCGUUAGGACCGGGCCCGUUUGGCCCGCCAAAAGACCGUGACUAGACCGGUCCCUUGGCAGGCCAAACGGGCCCAACGGAUAUUAUUUUUUUUAAAAAGAGUUGUUUGGCUUUUGAAAAAAGGAGCCAUUGGGGGUUUAAAAAAUAGCCGUUGGGUAUUUAAAAAAUAGUCAUUUACCCCCCAUCCCCCCAAACUUAGUUUUAACCCCAAACGUUUUAUUAUUAUACUUUUUUCUUAUUUUCUACUAUAAAUACCCCCUCAUUAUUUCAUUUUCCGUUCAACCCGAACCCUUCCAAAUCCUGAACUAACUAUCUCCACUAGUCAUAAAAUAGUAAAAGCACAUACAUAGAGUCUUAUUUAGGGGAAUGAUGAUCUAGAAAGUAGAAUAACCGGUCAGGUCGUUACAAGUGCAGACCGCACAAGAAUUGUGCGACCGCAGAAGAUGCUUCACAACAACAAUCCAGAAAUGUGCGGUUGCAAAAUCAAAGCUCCUACCAACUGAAGAAAUCUGCAGACCGCACAUGGAACCUGGAAUCUCAUCUAUAAACACAUCUACAUACUCUCUGACUACUGGGAUAGACUGAAGUGUAGGUAUCUCAGCAUAUGUAUCUCUAACUCGCACAAUAUGAUAAAUGCACCCUUUUGCUAUCAUUUUCCUCACCUUAGAUAGGAAAUAAACCUACCUCUAGGUGUCGUUGUAUUUCCUACCCAUUCAAGGACUGGCUCACCAUGUGAGUUGUCUGUGCAGAUCCAAAUAUUGAUACUAUAGCAUGUGAGUUAUCCGUGCAGAUCCGGAUAUUGAUAUUAUAUCACGUGAGUUGUUCGUGCAACACGUGAGUUGUCCAUGCGGAUUAUAGCGCUUGGGCUAAAGGAGCACCUCCGAAGUCUACACAUAGACCCAGUAAGCGCAGGUACCUAUUGAGUGUGAGUGUUGAGUGAUUGGGAUAGUAGCCCCGGAACUGAGGAUGCUAUUACUACCCACGUGGAGGGGUAUUUAAGUAUUUACACUUACCCGUUCACACUGGGCCUGGUAGACCCAGUUAUUUUAGAUUUUUGCAAGAGAUACGAGGUGUGUCUUAGGAAAAUCCACCCGUCUAUAUGGAGGAUCAUGAUCCUUCUCCGUUACUUUGUGAAUAAUACCAAGUCUCGUCGGUUUACUAUCGACCACCUGCUCCGUCUAUACAGUCCCCGAAUUUUUUGAGGGGUUCACCGGUUCGUGAUGAGGUUGGAGCCUCACCUACUUAAUGACUGUAUGUGGGUCUCACUUCAGCCAGGCAUGGAUAUUUCUCGUAUUCAGGCAUACGCUUAGGGUGUAAAGGAGCGUAAGCAGAAGUAGAGGGCACAUAGCAUUGGAUCUUUGUAUUUUGACGGCGAGGAUGAAGUUUUAGCUGGAAUAAAUUAUGGACCGCUGAUGAAUUGGAUCAAUGGUCGAGAUUUGUUUGUGCUUCUUUGUGAGUGUGGAAAAUGGUCUACAUGGCGCAAUCAGAUUGGCUUAGAGAGGAGUGGAUUGCCAACCUGGACUAGUGAGGGCGAUUAGACUAGGUCAGGUAGGGGAUUGGGGCAAACUUUUGUGGAAAAUCCAUCAUUGUCUUAUCUUGAUCCACGUGCCUCUAUUUGUGAAAAAGAGGUGCAAAAGAUUAUCCAUUUGCAGAAAAUAGCAAAUCAAAUGCCAGAUGUAUUUACAGAUCUGAAAAGGAUAACAAAAUCACAUAUCCCUGUAGAGAAUGUUCCAAUCUGUAUUGAUGUCCCUGUUGGACAUUCUUCUAGUGUCAUAGCUAAUGAGUCAAAAUAUGUGCAGUACAUUUUGUUGAAGAGGCGUGCCCAUCCUUUAACAUUUCCAGGUUUUGCAAAUCUAUCUGGUGUGUAUGUCAUCUUCUUUGGAUGAUGACUAGCAAUAUAAUCAUUCAAUGGCCUACGCAGGAACUCUUAACAACAGUCUCCUCUUUGGAGAUGCUCUAACAACCAAACCUAAAGAUUGCACCCUUCGAAAUAUCCGGUCCCAUGCCUGCAUUGAUGCAAGGCCCGAUACAUCUCGACUAGUAUCAUAGGAACGAUAGUUUAUUUUGGUCUUUCGAUUCUUUCCAUCAUGGUCCUAGCGACCAUGUCUAAACGAGUGUGAAUUUUUCCUCCUUAUAUUGGGAAAAUCAACAGACCCGGGAAGCAGACUAUGAAGACAUAAAUUCGAUGAUGAAUGCCCGUACUUAGCCUUGGACGGAAUUCACCACCCGAUUUGGGUUGCAUUCCCAAACAACCCGACUCAUAGAUAGCGCCUUGUGGUGCGACAGGGUCCGGGCACAACGGAGCUCUCACCCUAUCUGGCGCCCCCUUCCAGGGGAUUUGGGGCCCGGUCCGCCGCUGAGGACGCUUCUCAAGACUACAAUUCGGAUGAUGGAGCCUCCCGAUUCUAGGUCUGGGUUGUUCUCGGUUCGCUUGCCAUUACUAGGGAAAUCCUUGUAAGUUUCUUUUCCUCCGCUUAUUGAUAUGCUUAAACGCAACGAGUAGUCCCGCCUGACCUGGGGUCGCAGUCGGAGCGCCUAAGCGUAAUAAAGGUUGGGGAGCCCAAACAUGCGACGGGUUGAGCCACGACAUUACGAGAGUUGAGUUUCAACCACCACUUGUAGUAUCAUCCGUCAUCGUGGACUCGCAUUUAGGCCAACCGCACACUCGGGGCGCACAUAUGGCCAGUAUCCGUCCCACGACAUCACCACGACCAUAAUUCUGGGUGCGGUGUGCGGGGGCGACGAUCGACUACCUUGUUUGAUUAUACAGUCCCCGGAUAUUCCAAGGAGGCUGAUCAAGCUUACACGUCGGGCCAGCAAGGCCCUCUUCUCCAGUAUCGACGAAGACCGAGACUGUGGCUGGCAGGGAUGCUUCGUCCGAGUAAAGAUCGAGGAUUUGAUCCCCCCUGAAUACAUGCCAUUCCUUGAGAAAUGGAAUAUGUCUCGUAAGUGCAACUCCUUCAUCAAAAUUUCUUCUGCGUGUACCCAGCCCCCGGACCUAGAUCGCCUCAAAUAUUUUCAGGCCAUCAAAAACGAUCUAAGGAAGCAAACUCACUGCCCCGUCAUGACCGCUCCUCAUUUUUUGGCGUUUUAUGGCCAUAAAACUGAAAUUCCGCCUAAUUCUCUGAGUUUCGUGUGCUAUAGCCCACGCCUUCCGCGUGGGCCCGGACCCGGACCCGGAUUCAUUUUCUGGAAGAAGACACUUGUUCUUCUUCACUGCAUGCAAAAUUCACAGAUGCUAAGUCCACACACAUGCAUCGAUCAUUGUAUCAUCCAGUGCUCCAUCUCUUUUGUCAAUCACAGCACACAGAGGCAACAUUCAAGUUAGUUCCUCAGCAGGCUUGUCACGACCCGAAAUUUUUACCUUUAAACCGUGAUGGCGCCUAACAUUUUACUUGCUAGGCAAGCCAACGUUAUAAUAAUAUUAAUCAAUUUUUAAAUAAUUUUAAAUUAUUAAUAAUCAAAGAAACAAAUGCGGAAACAAAGUUUGAAAUAUAGUGAAUAAUCCAUAAAAAUAAUGGUGUCUAAAUACCAUCCUAGAAUUGGUGUCACAAGUGCACGAGCUUCUAGAAUAAUACAAAUAAAGAUCCGAAUAAAAUGAAGCUGUCUGGAAAUAAACACACAGCUAAAGUAAAAUAGACGGGGACUUCAGAACUGCGGACGCAAUACAGUUAUACCUCAAGUCUCCUCCGAGUAGCUGAAAUCCGAGCAAGUCUAUGGCACGCCGCUGGGACCAACUCUGAAAUCUGCACAAGAAGUGCAGAGUGUAGUAUCAGUACAACCGACUCCAUGUACUGGUAAGUGCUGAGCCUAACCUCGACGAAGUUGUGACGAGGCUAAGGCGGUUCACUUAUAUUAACCUGUACGCAAUAUUAGUAAUAACAGCAAUAGUAGAAAUAAAUCAGGUAACUCAUUUAUAAUAAUUGACCCAAUUAUCAUUUCCAUCAAUUAUGUUACAGCGUGCAACCCACUCUCACAAUAUAUUCAUAUUCAAUUCUGUUGCAGCGUGCAACCCGCUCUCACAAUAUAUGNNNNNNNNNNNNNNNNNNNNNNNNNNNNNNNNNNNNNNNNNNNNNNNNNNNNNNNNNNNNNNNNNNNNNNNNNNNNNNNNNNNNNNNNNNNNNNNNNNNNNNNNNNNNNNNNNNNNNNNNNNNNNNNNNNNNNNNNNNNNNNNNNNNNNNNNNNNNNNNNNNNNNNNNNNNNNNNNNNNNNNNNNNNNNNNNNNNNNNNNNNNNNNNNNNNNNNNNNNNNNNNNNNNNNNNNNNNNNNNNNNNNNNNNNNNNNNNNNNNNNNNNNNNNNNNNNNNNNNNNNNNNNAUUCGACAGUGGGACCCACAUCUCAAAUCUCGAAAACUUAACGAAAUCCGAACACCUAUUCCGAGAUGAGUCCAACCAUACAAAAUUAUCCAAUUCCGAUAUCAAAUGGACCUUCAAAUCUUACAUUUUGUUUUGAUUUUAUAAAAUUCCAAAUUCUUCCAUCUAAAUUCGAAAUAAAUGAUGAAUAUAGACAUGGAUUUGUGAAAUAUAAUCACUUUUAGUUAAAGAACACUUACCCAAUUAAAAGUCAUGAAAAUCCCCCUUGAAAUCGCCCAAAUCCGAGACUUGAAACUCAAAAAAAUGAGCAAAAAUGGCUAAGACCCGAUUUUAUGUAUUCUGCCCAGCAUUUUCUCAUCUGCGACCUAUAUUUUCACAUCUGCGGUCUCGCAUUUGCGAUACAAAGCUCGCAUUUGCGGAACAGGGCAGCUUGACCAGCGGCCGCAUCUGCGCCCAAAAAUAUCGCACCUGCGACAUCGCAGAAGCGCACAAGUGAUCGUAGAAGCGGUCUUCUCGCAGAAGCGGCUUGUCCAUCGCGGAUGCGGUUUCACACCUGUGCUCAUUUUUUCGUAGAAGCGGAGCUCGGCAAGGCUGUUCAAUAUUGCAGAAGCGACUAGUAUUUCCGCAGGAACGGCCACGCACCUGCGCACAAAAUGUCGCAGGUGCGACACACCAGAACCAACACUGGGCAGCAAGUUCCAAUUGCUCUGUGGCUCGUCCGAAACUCAUUCGAGCCACUCGGGAUCUCGUCCGAAUAUUCCAACAAGUCCAAAAAUAUAAUACAGACUUACUCAAGGUUUCAAUUCACGUCAAACAAUAUCAAAAUUACAAUUCACACCUCGAUUCGAGUUUUGAGUUUUAAACUUUUCCAUUUGCAAAUCUUGUGCCAAAACAUAUUAAAUGAAUCCGGAAUGACUUCAAACUUGGCACACAAUUCAUAACUGACAUAACGGAGUUGUUCAAAUCUCCAGAAUCAGAUUCUGGCUCCGAUAUUAAAAAGUCAACCCCGUGGUCUAACUUGAAAAUCUUUAGCCUUUAAAUUGCUAAUUCCGUUAAAUGGUCAUAACUUGAGCUAGGAACCUUCAAAUUAAAUUUUGGGCAUAUGCCUAAGUCCCAGAUCACGAUACAGAACUACCGGAACUGUCAAAAUAUUGAUCCGGGUCCGUUUACUAAAAAUGUUGACCAAAGUCAACUCAGUUGAUUUUAAAACUCUAUUUCACAUUUUAAUCCAUUUUUCACCUGAAAACUUUUCGAAAAAUUUUACGGACUGCGCACGCAAGUCGAGGAAUAAUAAAUGGUACUUUUCGAGGUCUUAGAACAUAGAAUUACUUAUUAAAUUUAAAGAUGAUAUUUUGGAUCAUCAUAAGGCUGCCUCUUCAUCUUUCCAACCGGCCGCCGGUACUGAGGCGGUCACUCGUGAAAUUGCUUUCUUCGAGACAGCUAUUCCCGAAGUGGCUUCCACCGACUCGGCUCCCGAUCCCCCCUUGAAAAGCUUUAUUCCCGGGGGCUGUUCAAUUGCGAACAACUUUAAGGUCGAGAAACCCUCAUCCAAAAAGGACCGGGGUGAAGGAGUAUCGAGAUAUAUAUGCCCCGUUACCGAAGACGUCCUUCCCGUGGUAAGGAAGCUGAUUGGUGGGAUUCCCCUGAGGGGUGCACCGCCAACCGACCUUGAUCUUCGAGUCGUGACGACACUCGGGCCACUAGAUUGAAGGCUUCUGAUUGGUUAUUAUCUUCCACUACAAUAAAGUCAAGUUGUCGUGCGUUGUUAGUGACAAAAAAAUUACUCGGAUAUUACCUUGCUUUUAGUCUUUAACAUAUUUUACUAUUCAAAUAAACACGCUCGUAAUUUUUUGAGUAGGCAAAUUAUUUAAUUAGGUUCCUUAUUAAUUCAGUCAGUUGAAGACUGAGAAAUAUUUGGAUCUAAAGGUAUUCCUAAUGGUCAAUAAAGUGAAGAUAAAAAUCAUGAAAUUUCAUGUUCAAAUAAAAACACUAUAGGCAAAAAUCAUUAGGUGAUUAAUUUUUAUCUGGCUCCAAUAAAAUAGUUGAGAUGGAACGAUAUAACUUGGACAAUAUAAUCAUAUAAAAAAUAAAAUAAGAAAUUGAGAAAUAUGUUGCUGGAAAAAGACUUUUUCAACCUCCAUAGAAAAUUAAAAUAGAAAAAGAAAUUCAAUCAAUGGGGUCCUUUUUCUUUGGCAGAGAAGAGAGAGAGGGACGUUUGUGUUUGUGCUUUUGAGCUAUAAUUCAAUUCAAUUGGGAUAUGUAUGACUCUUUCUUUGUAGCUUCAUAUGUCCACUUGUACUUUUAGCUGUCCAUUGUGUAUAUACAAUGGAGAAUUUCCUACUUCCUUCUAUUAAAGUUCAAAGAAAACAAAAAAAAAAAACAAUAAUUCAAAUCAAGAGCAAAGCAUUAAGAAGAAGCUUCACAAUAAUUUCCUACCACAUUAAAUGUCACAGUAUGCAUCAGUUGACUGACUUUCCUUCUAUUAAAGUUCAAAGAAAACCCAGUACCAAUAAUUCUGUGGAGUAGAGCCCAUCUCAUACCAACUUUUCCAAUAGCAAUAAUUCUUAUCUCUUCUAACAUAUUAUAAAACUAUGUUGAAAAUAUCAUCUAGAGUUCUAUUACCACAACCAUAAUUUUUUCACAUACCGUUUUCAGAGAAUUAACAUGGAGUCCAUGGCAUCUUCUGCCAGAUGGAGCUAUGAUGUUUUCCUAAGUUUUAGAGGUGAAGAUACUCGAAAAAUAUUUAAAAGUCACUUAUACGAAGUCUUGAAUGAUAGGGAAAUAAAAACCUUUCAAGAUGAAAAACGGCUAGAGUAUGAUGCAACCAUCCCAGAAGAACUCUGUAAAGCUAUAGAAGAGUCUCAAUUUGCCAUUGUCGUUUUCUCAAAGAAUUAUGCAACAUCGAGGUGGUGUUUGAAUGAACUAGUGAAGAUUAUGGAAUGCAAGACUCAAUUUAAACAAACUGUUAUACCGAUAUUCUAUGAUGUGGAUCCAUCAUAUGUUCGGAACCAAAAGGAGAACUUUGCAAAAGCCUUUGAAGAACAUGAAACAAAGUAUAAGGAUGAUGUUGAGGGAAUACAAAGAUGGAGGAUUGCUUUAAAUGCAGCGGCCAAUCUCAAAAGCUCAUGUGAUAAUCGUAACAAGUGAGCUAAAAACACAUAAGCUGAUACUUUAUACAUUCAAAUGAGUUAAACAUAAUCUUAAAUAAAUUUUUCAAAUUUUCGGAAUAAGUAAUUCUAGUUGAUUAUAUAUGUUUCUAUCAAUUUAAUUACAAACUCAAUAACAUUGUUACACAGAUAAAAUUUAAUUAGUUCUUCAAAGAGUUUGAUUUAUGUGCACACUCCUUGUAUAUAUCACAAUCUUCUACUUUUUGUAGGACUGAUGCAGACUGUAUUCGGCUGAUUGUUGACCAAAUCUCGUCCAAAUUAUGCAAGAUUUCUUUAUCUUAUUUGCAAAACAUUGUUGGAAUAGAUACCCAUUUAGAGAAAAUAGAAUCCUUACUAGAGAUAGGAAUCAAUGAUGUUCGGAUUAUGGGGAUCUGGGGCAUGGGGGAGUCGGUAAAACGACAUAAGCAAGAGCUAUGUUUGAUACUCUUUUAGGAAGAAGGGAUAGUUCCUAUCAAUUUGAUGGUGCUUGUUUCCUAAGGGAUAUUAAAGAAAACAAACGUGGAAUGCAUUCUCUACAAAAUACCCUUCUAUGUGAACUUUUAAGGGAAAAAGCUAAUCACAAUAAUGAGGAGGACGGGAAGCACCAAAUGGCUAGUACGCUUCGUUCUAAGAAGGUUCUAAUUGUGCUUGAUGACAUAGAUGAUAAAGACUAUUAUUUGGAGUAUUUAGCAGGUGAUCUUGAUUGGUUUGGUAAUGGUUCUAGAAUUAUUGUAACAACUAGAGAUCAAGCAUUUGAUAGAGAAGAAUGAUAUAUUAUAUGAAGUGAGUGCACUACCUAAUCAUGAAUCCAUUCAGUUGUUCAAUCAACAUGCUUUCAAAAAAGAAGUUCCAGAUGAGCAUUUUAAGAAACUUUCAUUGGAGGUAGUAAAUUAUGCUAAAGGCUUUCCUUUAGCCCUCAAAGUGUGGGGUUCUUCCUUGACAUAACUGUAUGAAAAAGUGCUAUAGAGCAAAUGAAAAUUAAUCCUAAUUCAAAAAUUAUUGAAAAACUCAAAAUUAGUUAUGAUGGAUUAGACUCCAUGCAACAAGAGAUUUUCCUGGAUAUAGCAUGCUUCUUACGAGGGUUAGAAAAAGAUUACAUCAUGCAAAUUCUCAAGAGUUGUCAUUUUGGAGCUGAAUAUGGAUUGGAUGUCCUCAUCGAAAAAUCUCUUGUGUUCAUCACUGAAUACGGUAAAAUUGAAAUGCAUGACUUAAUACAAGAAAUGGGUAGAUAUAUAGUGAACUUGCAAAAGAAUCCGGGAGAACGCAGCAGACUAAGGCUCGUCAAGGAUUUUGAAGAAGUGAUGAUCAACAAUGCAGUAAGUAGGAUAAACAAUGGAAGAGUAUUUGAUUUCUAAUUUUCAUAUUCCAAAGACAUAUAGGACAGUCAACUCCAUUUAUCUGUUCCUCUUGCUUCAUAAUCUUGCAGGUACAUCAUUUUAGUUGUUUACUUUGGUUAGUAGGAAAAGCAAAAGUAAUAUUAAUUGCCUAAUUAGUAAAAAAAGAUAUUAAUUGCCUAAUCCAUUAAGUAGCCUCUUUAAUUUACAUUGCCUAAUUCGUUUUUCUUAUAUUUUUUAGCGAUUGAUUAGUCUAGCUAGUAGCCACUUAAUCUGUUUGAUCCAAUUUCAUUCUUUGGAUUAACUUGAAAAUUGUAUGACAUUUUAUUACAUAAUAAAAUGGGUGGGGAGUUCUUAGAGGGAGGGAGCCGAGUGUCUAUCGGAAACAACCUCUUUAUCCCAGGGUAGAGAUAAGGUCUGCGUACACACUACCCUCCCCAGACCCCACUAGUGAGAUUAUACUGGGUUGUUAUUGUUGUUGUUUUUUAUUACAUAAUAACUCAAUCAGAGAUUCACUUUUUCAUUAUUUGUUUUUAAAAAAAAAAGUCACUACAAAUUUUUGGUAUUGUUUCAAUUGCAGUUUCUUCUAUCGCAACAUGUAAAGCUUAUAAACUUGACUCUAAUGAACUUCUAAGAAAAGUGUAAUAUUAGAAAAUAGAACUAUAGAAUUAAUUGCAAAAAGUAUUUCUGUGAAGUAACAUUAGUAUUUCCUAUGAUCUUCUUACUAGGGGACCAUGGCAGUGGAAGCAAUUUGGGUUCGUUAUAAUUUUGGUACACUACGCUUUAGCAAUAUGAAAAGGCUUAGGAUAUUAUGCAUAGAGAAUAACAGGUGGGGCAAUGAUGGCUCCAUUGAGCACCUGCCCAAUAACUUGCGUUGGUUUGUUUUGAGUGGCUAUCCUUGGGAGUUAUUGCCGGCUGAAUUUGAACCCAAAAUGCUUGUUCAUCUUCAACUCAAACAGAAUUCACUGCGUCAUUUAUGGACGGAAACAAAGGUAUAAUAGUUGAGUUCUAUUUUACUUUUCUGUUUCUCUCUAACUAUCUUUUUCCUUUAAUUUAGUGAUAAUGAACACAUAUUAUUACUUUUGUCGCGUAUUAUUUGAGGUACUUUCUAUUUUUGCUAAAAUUAUAAACGAACAAAGGUUAUUAAUUCCAUAAGCUCAAAUUUUUGUAUUUCCAUCUCAAAAAAUUAAUUUUAUAUUAUUUGAGGUUGUUCUCAAUAUUAUUGUAAAAGAUCUUCAUGUCUUUUUUCUCCAAAUCUUCCCAUCAUCAUUUUAACUAAGAAGCUCAAUUUAAAAGCUCCUUCAAUUAUUUCUCAUGGUAAGAUUAAAUUCAUAUGAAUCUCAUCCCGGGCUGUACAUAGUGGGACGGAAGGAAUACUUAUUAGUAAAACAAAAGAAAUUUAUUGUGUACGACUAUUUUUUCGAAUGUUAUAUACGCUUUCAUACACUGCUUAUGGAUUUAAGAUUUGGGUUUUCCCGUUUUAUAUUACACUUUUUUAAAGAGAAACAUUUUUCUCUUUGCUAAAUUUUUUUUCAAUCAUGUUAAAUUACAAUUAGCAAUAUUUUAUUUAUAAUUUACUUUUAUUCAGUUUCUUAACAAGUAAUUUUCCAUAUAUAAAAAAUAAAUUUCUAAUUUCGCACAAAAAUAAUGUGUUAGACCCUCAUAAUUCAAAUGCUAUCAUUCAUUUCUUGUCGAGUGAGUAAUAAAUACUUUUAGGAAAGCUAGCAAUAAGUAAUUAAGAAUUCAAGAAAACAGAGGUCAUUUGAUGCUCGCAAAUACAAAUGAAAAAACAAAACAAAAAAGGUUUCUACAUUCAUACAUAGCCCCACUAGCCAAAUAUUUUAUUAUUGGAAUCCAGCAGAGCAGCAAUCAAGGUUCAUUAUUUUCUCUAUAUCUCAUUCUGUCGGUGUUCUGAACAGGAUUUGCAGUCUCUACGGAGGAUAGAUCCCAGCUACUCUGAAAGCCUUAUGCGAACACCAGAUUUCACGGGGAUGCCAAAUUUGGAGUAUUUGAAUCUAGAGUAUUCUGCUCUUGAAGAGGUUCACCAUUCCCUGGGGUGUUGUAGAAAACUCGCCGAGUUAAAUUUGACUUGGUGUGAACGCCUUGAGAGGUUUCCAUGUGUUAACGUGGAAUCACUUGAAAUUUUGUCAUAGUUUAGAGAAAUUUUCAGAAAUCCACGGGAGAAUGAAGCCGGAGAUACAGAUUCGCAUGCGAGACUCUGGGAUAAGGAAACUACCAUCAUCUAUUACCCAGUACCAAACUCAUAUUACCAAGCUAGAUUUGAGCUUUAUGAGAAACCUUGUAGCUCUUCCAAGCAGCAUCUGUAGGUUGAAAAGUUUGGUUAGUCUAAAUGUGUCGUUUUGCUCAAAACUGGAAAGCUUGCCAGAAGAGAUGGGGGAUUUAGACAACUUGGAGGAGCUUGAUGCCAGCUAUACUCUAAUUUCACGACCUCCGUCUACAAUCGUACGCUUGAACAAACUUAAAAUCUUGAAGUUUGGAGGCGUCAAAGAUAGAGUGCACUUUGAGUUCUCGCCGGUGGCAGAAGGAUUACGGUCAUUGGAAACUUUGAGUCUCAGUUACUGCAAUCUAAUAGAUGGAGGACUUCCAAAAGACAUUGGAUCGUUAUCCUCUUUGAAAAAGUUGUAUCUCAGAGGAAAUAAUUUUGAGCAUUUGCCUCGAAGUAUAGCCCAACUUGGUGCUCUUCGAAUCUUGGACUUAAGAAAGUGCAAGAGGCUUACACGGCUGCCAAAACUUCCACCAGAAUUAGAUACAAUACAUGCAGAUUAUUGGAGCAAUGAUUCCAUCUGUAAUUCGUUGUUUCAGAAUAUCUCGUCUGUUUCAGAUUCCUUGUCACUAAGAGUAUUUACCAGUGUGGUUCCUUAUGAUUAUGAGGAGAUCCAUGAUAUCCCAAGUUGGUUCCUCUUUAAGGGAAGGGAUAGAAGUGUAUCAGUCAAUUUGCCUGAAAAUUGGUAUAUACCUCAUAAAUUCUUGGGAUUUGCUGUAUGUUACUCUGGCAGAUUAGUUGACACCACAGCUCACUUGAUUCCCUUAUGUAAUGAUGGCAUGUCGUGGAUGACCCAAGAACUUGCUUUAUCCAACCAUUCAGAAUCAUCCGGCAGUUCAAAUAUACAUUUUUUGUUUGUUCCUUUUGCUGGCUUAUGGGAUACAUCUAAGGCAAAUGGAAAAACACCAAAUGACUGGGGGAUUAUUAGGCUAUCUUUUUCGGGAGUAAUGAAGUAGUAUGGACUUCGUUUGUUGUAUAAAGAAGAAGCUGAGGUUGAGGCCUUGUUACAAAUGAGGAAAAAUAACAAUGAACCAACAGAACAUUCCACUGGGAUAUAACAAUAUGAACACGACUUCAUGAUCAAUGAAGCCAGUUGCUCCUCGGGUAAGAAACAAAAGAGUCACAAUUCCAAACUUUGCAGCUCAAAUUUUAGCUCAGGUAUAUACAUCAGAUGAAUAACAGAAUACUAGUUUUGUGGUAGAGUUAAAGGCUCACGAUCUUUUAAAAUAUUGAGUGUUUUCUUUCAAGAUUGUUUGCACUAAUUCAUCUAAUAUGAUCGUUUCAAAUUAGGAAUAUCCGAUGUUUUUUAUAUUAACGUAUGUUGUUACUUGUUAAAAUAGAUCUUGAUAAAUUAAUAACAUCUAUAUCUCUAUAUUACUUAUAAGUGGUUUUAACAAGUUUACUCUUUUGCUUUUGGAUUAGUUUUUACAGUUCAAAUGGGAACAAGGUAUUUUGAGAACUAAACUGCAUAUGAAAGAUUGGAAGUCCCAUCAAGAUCAAAUCAUUGAGAAGGUCAAAGAGGCUUUAUUUGUGCACUUAGAUGAAUAAGAUUUGCUAAUUUGAGAAUAUGGAGUUUCUUCUCCUAGCAGAUUUUAGUCAAGUAGCUUAUGAACAAUUUUAAAUCUUUUUAGUCUUUUCUAGUGAACCAAAAAAAAUGUUUUUCAUACAAUAUGUGUUUGUUCGCGUGACAAUAUCCAUUUCUCCCUUUUUACCCCCUGUGAAAUAAAAUAAAAUUUCAGAUAAAGUAAAAGAUAGAAAUGUCACGUUUUAAAUCUUCAAAGGGCAAUUUGUAUAAUUUCUUUAUUUGGAACUUAUAUUUGAAGAGCAAGGUGAACUUAUAUUUCAUUACAACAAUUACUAUAUUAUUCUCUGUUUUAACUUUUAAAUUCACAAUUCUCGUAACAAUAAUACUUUUCUCAUUUCACCCUUAACAAUAUCGAUUUAAUGGAAUAACUAAUGUCAUGUUUUUCAUAACAUUUUCUACCAAGACAUGGUGGAAUUUACUCAUAAUCUAUAUAAAUGUUCUUGAUUACACUACAAAUAACCAACUUCGAUUUGAUAUUUCAAAUCAGAUCGUAUUUUUGUUUAAGAAAUGAAAAUAAAUCACUUGGAACCCAUAUAAGAGAAAUCUAAAUUGGAAAUUGUGAAAGUUAGACCCCAUGGAAUUCAUAUCUACGACUAAAAUAAUAAAACAAAACAAGUAAGAGUUAUUUUGAAGUUUCAAAAUUUUUAACAAAUUAUAGUAAUUAUGUUACUAUUGUUUAUCCACACUCGAUGUGCAUAUCAAAAAGACCAAUAAAACUUAUACUUUAUAAACAUUAUGACAUUUCACUAUUAUCAUUUCAAGAUAAGAAAAGACAACAGAAAGGACUAAUAUGCUAGGCUUCAGUUUUUCUUAUAUUUAUAAAGAAUUUAAUUUUAAACUAGGACUAUUAUCUUGAAACAAGAGGAAAAUAUUUGAGAAAAUUUUCGUCCAGAAGGGUCACACUCAUCUAAGCUCACAGGAAGAAAAAAAAUUUAUAUAGCUCUAAUAAAUUUUUUUUUUAAAGUCAAAAUAUAAUCAUAAAUUCAUAUUUAAAGAAAAAGCUAUUAAGAAAAGUCAAUGUUAAAAAUAAAUAAAUAAAUUCUCUAUCAGUAAAAAGAAGAAUUCUUUCUCUUGUUAUAAAAUAAAGACUAUAAAAGAAAUAAACUGAAAACAAGUAUAGAGGGGGAUUGAUAUUUUAUUCCAACUUUCAAACUGAUAUCUAUAAUGAACUAAAAACUCCUCUAUUUAUAGAAGAAAAGAAGCAGUUGCGAGGCUUUUCUUCAGCUGCUUGUAAGUUGUCUGCAUGAGCUGCUCGCAACUUACAUGUUUAAUAAAAAGUUGCUGCAAAUCAUUUCAUUGAGUUACUUGCAACCUGCCUGCAUCAGCUGCUUGUAGAUAAAUUUCAACAGAGUACUAAAUGGAUGAUCUUCUUCAAGAAGAUUAUUUACAGCGGAGUAAUAAAUAGACAUCCACAAAUAAUAGUUUCAUAACACUCCCCCUUGGAUGUUCAUUAAAGAUAAUAUGCCUCGUUAAAACCUUACUAGAAAAAACCCAGUGUGAAAAAACCUAGUGAAGGAAAAAGAGUAUACAUAUUUAGUAAUACGCAUUUCUAGUUGCCUCAUUAAAAACCUUACAAGAAAAACCCCAUGUGAAAAAAAUUUAGUAAGGAAAAAAGAGUACAACGCGUAUUUCACUCCCCCUUAUGAAAACCUUAUUUCAAAUAUUUGAGUCUCCGCAUUCCAAUCUUGUAUACCAUCUUCUCAAAAGUUGAAGUUGGCAAAGACUUAGUGAACAAAUCUGUCGGAUUGUCACUUGAACGGAUUUGUUGCACAUCAAUGUCGCCAUUUUUCUGAAGAUCAUGUGUGUAGAAUAAUUUUGGUGAAAUGUGCUUCAUUCUAUCUCCUUUAUAAAUCCUCCCUUUCAUUGGGCUAUGCAUGCAUCAUUGUCUUCGUAUAAAAUUGUGGAUCUUUUAUCAUAUUCCAAACCACAUAUUUCUCGAAUGAAAUGAAUCACCGAUCUCAACCAUACGCAUUUCUUACUUGCUUCAUGAAUAGCUAUUAUCUCAGCAUGAUUUGAAAAAGUAGCAACAAUAGAUUAUUUUGUGGAGUGCCAUGAUAUGAUAAUACCUCCAUAUGUAAACACGUACCCAGUUUGAGAUCGAGCUUUAUGGGGGUCUGAUAAAUAACCUGCAUCUGCAUAACCAACAAGAUCUGCACUAGUUUUGUUAGCAUAAAACAAAUCCAUAUCAAGAGUUCCAUUUAAAUACCGCAAUAUAUGCUUAAUCCCAUUCCAAUGUCUCCGUAUAGGAGAAAAACUAUAUUUUGCUAGUAAAUUAACAGAAAAUGCUAUGACAUGCCUUGUAGCAUUAGCAAGAUACAUAAGUGCACCAAUUGCACUGAGAUAGUGUGUUUCAGGACCAAGGAGUUCCUCAUUCUCUUCUGGAGGUCGGAACGGGUCCUUAUUCACUUCAAGUGAUCGAGCAAUAAUUGGUGUAAUCAAUGGGUGCGCUUUGUCCAUGUAAAAGCGUUUUAAGACCCUUUAUGUAGAGGCAGAUUGAUGGAUGAAGAUCCCGUCUGCUAAAUGUUAAAUUUGCAGACCAAGAUAAAGUUUUGUCUUUCCAAGAUCUUUCAUCUCAAAUUCUUUCUUAAGAUAUUCAAUUGCCUUUUGGAGCUUUUCUGGAGUUCCAACAAGAUUUAUGUCAUCAACAUAAACAACAAGUAUAACAAAUUCUGAUGCCAUUUUCUUUAUAAAAAUACAUGGACAAAUAACAUCAUUUAUGUAACAUUCUUUCAACAAAUAUUCACUAAGGCGAUUUAUACCACAUGCGCCCAGAUUGCUUUAAACCGUACAAAGAUCUUUGUAAUCUGAUUGAAUACAUUUUCUGAGAUAUUGAAUUUGCUUCAGGCAUUUUAAAUCCUUCAGGGAUCUUCAUAUAGAAUUAAUCAAAUGAGUCAUAUAGGUUAUAACUUACAUUUAAAUGGCAUGACAUCUUCAGGUGUCUGGACUGCAGGUCCGAUCCUCACAAUCUUUUAUAAUAUUGUGCACUAUAUUAUAUCAAAUAUAUCGUCGACGAUCAUUUCGUAUCAGUUCGCAAGCGACAUAACUUGUUGAGAUCUUAUCACUUUUUUUAUUUUCAGGUGCCUGAACUUCUUCUGGAGUUUCAUGAAAUAUUAUGUCAUGGGCUAUUCCAGAGAUUAUUUCCUCCUAAUUAUGAUCAUUUUGAUCAUUUACUCCUAUUCUUUUCAAGGAUUGUUACCUUUGGAACCGAUUGGUCCACACUUCAUGCGUACAGUAAACUCUAUCCUUCAGGGACUUUAAUUUUAAUAAGAGCAUUUGCAGCUGAAAUAUGAUAUUUAAUUUUGGAUCAGCAAAUGCUUCUGGCAUUUGACUUGAAUUAUCUUCUAAGCAAGGAUCAUAUUAAUGAUAAUUCGAUUCAUACAACAUAUUUUCUAGCUGUUUUAUUCCAUCCCCCAAAUAUUAGAAAAACUAACUCAUAUCCCCAAUCUUCUUUGGGAAACAUAUCUUUGUGCAUUGUGGUAGAAAAAUUAAUCAUAUACCACACAUCAAAAGUUAUUAAAUAGUAAAAAUAUUUUGUUUCUGAUCCUAAAUCAAUUGUGAGGGGAUGACUUAUCAUAUUUUGUUGGUCUGAUGCAUACAAGUGCUGUUGUAUGCAAUUUAAAAAAUCUUAGACCAACACAUGAGGCUUUGUCCUCAUAAGCAAUAGUUUAGCCAUUAAUAGGAGGUAUUCAAUGCUAAACUAGCUUGGAUAUAAAUCAUCAUCAUCAAGAUGAACUAUCUUGAUUUCAUAAUCUGAAAAUUAUGCUCUUAAUUGAGAAAGACAAUUUCAAAUGCCAAACUGCAGGUUGACAAUAAACAUACAUGUAACCAUCUUAUAUAUGCAUCUAUAAGUGUUUCACAUGAUAGGUGAAUGAGCCUAUAUUUAACUUUUAUAUAUUUUAGAAUUCGGGGAUUUUAGUCCCAACUUUAGCUGGUAUAAUUAAGUUAUUAUGAGAACAAGCAACACAAGAGAAUUCUUGAAGAAUCUUCUAGUUAUUCAAUAUAUGCUUAUCUGAAUUUUCAAAUAGCUCAUUUAAAAAUGGCAAAUGAAAACUUCAAGUUUAUCAUGGCAUGUGUUAUCUCUAAGUAAACUUCUGGUUUACUAUGGCAUAAACUUUUGCAUCAAUAAACUUCUGAUUUAUUGUGGCUACUUUUGUAUCAGUAAAUUUCUGAUUCACUGUGACUGCUUUUGCAUUAGUAAACUUCUGGUAUACAUAAGACGGAUAACUUCUCACAUAUAUAUUUACUCCAUAUGAUUGUGAAAAUAUGAAGAUUUUCAAUCUUUCAAUCAUUUGUAGUCUCAGUUUGACAGUCACAUAUAUUAGUAAACUUCGGUUUAUCAUAACAUAUGUUCUGACCACAAUAAUGACAAAUAAGCUUUUCGGGAGCCUUUCAUUUAUUGUCCACAAUCAAAUAUUAUUUAGACACUACUUAUGUCAUGUGUCUUCUAGACAAACAGUUAGCUCUUCAGGAGCUUUUGUUAUACUACCAAAUAUUUCUCAGACACUUCUGGUGUCAUGAGAGAAAAUCAUAAUUAAAUGAAUAAUAUAAAGCUAAUUCUAAAUUUAUAAAUUACGAAAAUUAAGAAUUUUAAUAUUUCUACUACUAAUUUUGUGACAAAUAUCUCCUUCAAGGAGAAAUAUCAUUAGCAUCUGACUAUUUUGUAUCGAUACGACAACCACAUAGUCAUUGCAUCUUUUAAAAAAAGAUACACGAGUUGUUAUUUCCUUCGGGGAACUCAAUAACUAACCAUAAUAUAUUAAUGUGGUUGUAGUAGAAAGCAUUCUACAAUAAUGCUUUUGCCUUAGAAUGAUACUUAAUAAAAUUAUCCAAGAUGUUUACGUACAACAGGCACGUGCGACAAUGAUCUUUAUGCCACAAAAAUAAUAUUUAUAUUCUCUGUUAUUCUAGCUCUUCCGGAGUUGAGUUGUGGUAUUUAUUCAUUCACUCCAGGGAAUGAAAAUGUGCUUCAAAAAUAACUUUGAAUAGCUCAUUAUUUUAUUUACGCACAGAAAGGCACAGUUUCAUAAUAUUUUCCUGCUUCGGGAGAAAAUUUCAAUUGUGUUACUUCUUCAGGAGCAAAUUAAAAUACGAAAAAUUGAGUAUAUAUUCUCUCAAUCAUAUUACCUCUUCUGGAAGUAAUCGUAAUAUAUUUACAUCAAUAGCGCGCUCAUAUUUACGGCUUUAUUAAUAUUGUCACAUUCAUUUCAGGGAAUAGAUUAAUAUUUAUAAAAAUUCUUAUCCUUCAGGAAAUCAAACAUAAUUAUCUGAACACGCAUUAAUCACAUCAAAUUGUGAUGCUUCAACCUCUUUUAAAAUAUUUACUACUUCAGGAGCAAAUUGAGGCGUGCAUGUAAUAUAGAGAAUAUUUCUCUAGCUUAUCUUCAUUAUAACCAUAGCAAGCCUAAAUUAUCACUUCUGGUGGUCAUAGGCACAUACCACUUCUGGUGGUUAACAAAAUUUAGUUACAAUGAGAUAUACGAAACACAAUCACUUCUGAUGGUUGUAUAUUUUUUGCAAACUCUGUUGGAGUUUAAGUGAAUCUAACAAUGUUAUCCACUUUGUAAUCCUUUAUUAAGAUAAUAAGGAUGGAAACAAAUACCAAAAUAGGUACUGUAUACGUAACAUAUAAUCAAGCAAGCGAUGAUAAAGAUAUUAAAAUAUAAGCAAAAGGCUCAAAUUAAAUUACGCAAAUUUGGCCACUCCAUAUGUAAGUGAUAUCUACAUCACUACUGCUAAGAAGAAAAACUCACCACCUCAAGGAUAUAAUCUGCCUUGUGAUGCUCGGAAUGAACAAGAUCUGACCACGGACAUAAGAGUGUCGCCUUACAUUGGAGAUGAAUACUUAUUCAAAGUUAUGAGAUUUCUAGGUACAUCUACCUAAGGCAGCUUUGGCUUCCAUCGUCUUUUGCUCCAAAUUAUCUCAAGUUAGAGAUAACUAUACAUUCAAACAUAGAGACUCGUGCUGAUAACGUGUUAUAAAAUAAAGACUAUAAAAAAAAUAAACUGAAGACAAGUAUAGAGGGAGAUUGAUAUUUUAUUCAACUUUCAAAGUGAUAUCUAUAAUGAACUAAAAACUCCUCUAUUUAUAGAAGAAAAGAAGCAGUUGCGAGGCUUUUCAGGAAGCAGCUGCGAGGUUUUUCUUCAGCUGCUUGUAAGUUGUCUGCAUGAGCUGCUCGCAACUUGCAUGUUUAAUAAGAAGCUGCUGCAAAUCAUUUCAUUGAGUUGCUUGCAAUCUGCCUGCAUCGGCUGCUUGUAGAUAAACUUCAACAGAGUACUAAAUGGAUAAUCUUCUUCAAGAAGAUCGAAGUAAUAAAUGAACAUCCACAAAUAAUAGUUUCAUAACAUCUCUUAAUUUGUUGAUUGCAAAUUUUCAUGCAUUUUAAAUAUCAUAAAUACCAUAAAUAUCAUAAAAAUCACUCAUGAUUUGAAAUACGUUUUAUGUAGUUUUUAAAUAUUAAAAUCUUAUUUAAAACUAAAAUAAUCAAUAUCCGAGUUAUCCAAAAAAAUUAAAAAUUCAAUCCUCGUACUCAAAACCCUGCUCUAUUAUUUUGGGACUGAGGGAAACUAAUUUUAUCCUAAAAUUAAAAUUAGGAAAAUAUAGUGGAAAAAAGAAAAUAUUUGUGAAUUCUUGGUCAAGCACUCAGUCUGUAGCAGCCCACUAAUCCCUGGCUCCUAGUCCAGCCCAAUCUUGUUCAACAAAUUGAAAUUUUCAGCUAAAUUUGGAAUCUUAUUAAGUGGUAUUUUCAGAGCCAAAAGUUGGAAUUUUAUUGUUUGUCAUUGAGUAGUUGGUGAACAACAAUAUCAAACGGCAAAAAAUCCAGCAGACCAAAGUACCCAUUUAACUUCUAGCCUUUGUUUGAUAAAAAGCGUCAACCUUUAACUCCAAUUUUUACAUACCCAUUAAGGUAAAGUCCUUCAAAUUCUUGAUUUUUUUGUGUUUUUAUUAAGUGGGGUUAUGUGUUUUUGUUCAUUAUUUGAUCUUAAUUGGAGUUACUUAUUAUAAAAAUUUGUUCUUGCUAUGUAUUGUUACACUUUGCAGUAUUUAGUGGAAAAGCUGCAAUCUUUAACUCCAAUUUUUACAUACCCAUUAAGGUAAAUCCUUCAAAUUCUUGAUUUUUUGUUUGUUUUUAUUAAGUGGGGUCAUGGGUUUUUGUUCAUUAUUUGAUAUUAAUUGGAGUUCUGAUUAUAAAAAUUCUUUCUUGGAAUGUAUUAGGACCUUUUGCAGUAGCUAGCUCGGACAAUAUAAUCAUAUUUAAAAAACUGAGAAAUAUUUUGCCCGUAAAAAAUUAAAAUAGAAAAAGAAAUUCAAUCAAUGGGGUCCUUUUUCUUUGGCAGAGAAGAGAGAGAGGGACGUUUGUGUUUUAGCUUUGGAGCAAUAAUUCAAUUCAAUAGUAACAAUAAUUCACGUCAACUGGACUAUAGCAUUAAUGUUACAAUGUAUACCAGUACCAAUAAUUCUAUGGAGUAGAGCCCAUCUCAUACAAACUUUUCUUAUUUGAAGUGCCAUAGCUAAUUGUUUAUUUCUUUCUCUCCUAUUAUCAUUAGUUGAUCCAUAUACAUGUUUUUUUCUUUUCCGAUAAUUGACUGAAUCAAUGGGAACUUCACAGUUUCCUCGGUGGAACUACAAAGUCUUUCUAAGUUUUAGAGGUGAAGAUAAUCGAAGAACAUUUACAGGUCACCUCUUCAAAGGCUUGGAAAACAGUGGAAUAUUCACGUUUCAAGAUGAUAAAAGGCUAGAGCAUGGCGCAUCAAUAUCAGAUGAACUCUUGAAAGCUAUCGAACAGUCUCAAGUUGCCCUCGUCGUUUUCUCAAAGAAUUAUGCAACAUCGAGGUGGUGCUUAGAUGAGCUAGUGAAGAUCAUGGAAUGCAAGGAUCAAUGUGGACAGAUUGUCAUACCAGUCUUCUAUGAUGUGGAUCCAUCACAUGUUCGGAACCAGACAGAGAGCUUUGCUGAAGCCUUUGAAAAACAUGAAACAAAGUAUAUGGAUGAUGUUGAAGGAAAGCAAAAGGUGCAAAGAUGGAGGACUGCUCUAACUGCUGCCGCAGAUCUAAAAGGAUAUGAUAUCCGUGACGGGUGAGUUAAAAACACAUAGUAAUUUCUUAUAAUGAAAAAAAUGGAAUACUACAAAGAGAGGGUUGCUCAAGUACUAAGCACCUCCAACUCCAAACCCUUGGGUUGCGGGUUCAAGUUACCAUAGGAGCAAAGCAAGGAGCUCAAAAAGAAUAAUUUUCAUUCAAAUGUGGUUGCUUAUGUGAAAAAGUACUACAUAUUCUACUAUAGAAAAGGAACCUGUACCUCAAAAAUGAGUUAAACAGAAUAGACACUAAAUAAAUUUAUCAUAUUUACAAAAGAAAAAUUAAAAGGAGGAAACUUAAUCAAUUUAUUUUGCUAAAAAUACUGCUUACACAAUCUAAUUUCAUUGAUUGUCAUUUAGACGUUAAAAAUGUUUUUAUUUUUUAUUUUCCUGAAAAGGAAUGAUGGUUGUCAUAUAUGUUUCUAUCAGUAAGAAGACACUAUAGUUCCUAUCACUACAAUUCCUCAAUAACAUUCUUGCACAUAUAAUAUUUUGAUCGCUCCUUCAAGCGUUUAUUUUAUGUGCGUAUUCUUUUAAUCAUCUCUAUGCAAAUUAACAAUAUUUAGUAGCUCAGUUUGUUGGCUAUUUUCCUAGUUGAUGAGAGUUCGAUUCCUCACCUUGCAAUCUUCUCUCCCUUUCCCCUACCCCUAUGUAAUAAAAAAAUAAUUAUUAAAUGCUUACUAAUACUUGACUUUCUUACAUUUAUCCGCAAUUAAUCUUCCUACUUUUGUAGGAUUGAAGCAGAGAAUAUUCAGCAGAUUGUCGACCAAAUUUCCAAAUUGUGCAAUAAUGCUACUUUGUCUUCUUUGCGAGAUGUUGUGGGAAUAGAUACUCAUCUGGAGAAAUUAAAGUCCCUACUUAAGGUAGGAAUUAAUGAUGUUCGGAUCAUAUUGGGGAUCUGGGGCAUGGGCGGUGUAGGGAAGACAACAAUAGCAAGAGCCAUUUUUGACACUUUAUCUCAUCAAUUUGAAGCUGCUUGUUUCCUUGCGGAUAUUAAAGAAAACGAAAAACUGCUUUCUUUGCAAAAUACCCUUCUCUCUGAAUUGUUAAGAAGAAAAGAUGAUUACGUCAAUAAUAAGCUUGAUGGGAAGCGGAUGAUUCCAGACAGACUUUGCUCUAAGAAGGUGCUAAUUGUGCUUGAUGAUAUAGGCCAUAAAGAUCAUUUAGAGUAUUUAGCAGGUGAUAUUGGUUGGUUUGGUAAUGGCAGUAGGGUUGUUGUAACAACUAGAGACAAACAUUUGAUAGGGAAGGAUGAUGCAAUAUAUGAGGUGGCUGCACUACCUGAUCAUGAAUCCAUUCAAUUGUUUUAUCAACAUGCUUUCAAAAAAGAAGAUCCAGAUGAGUGUUUUAAGGAGCUUUCAUUGGAGGUAGUAAAUCAUGCUAAAGGCCUUCCUUUAGCCCUCAAAGUGUGGGGUUCUUUGCUGCAUAACCUAGGCUUAACUGAAUGGAAAAGUGCUAUAGAGCACAUGAAAAUUAAUUCUAAUUCAGAAAUUGUUGAAAAGCUCAAAAUCAGUUAUGAUGGAUUAGAGCCUAUCCAACAAGAGAUGUUUCUAGAUGUAGCAUGCUUCUUGCGAGGGAAAUAUAAAGGUUACGCCAUGCAAAUUCUUGAGAGUUGUCAUUCUGGAGUUGAAUACGGAUUGCGUGUCUUAAUUGACAAAUCUCUUAUAUUUAUCUCUGAAAAAGGUGAGUUUCAAAUGCACGACUUAAUACAAGAAAUGGGUAAAUAUAUAGUGAACUUGCAAAAGAAUCCGGGAGAACGCAGCAGAUUAUGGCUCGUCAAGGAUUUCGAAGAAGUGAUGAUCAACAAUACAGCAAGUAAGCUAAACAAUGUAUUACUAGUAUUUACUUCUAAUUUUCAUAUUCAAAAAAUAUAUAGGGCAGUCAAUUCCAAUUAUUUGUUCAUCUUGCUUCAUACUCUUGCAGGUACGGCAUUUUAGUUGUUCCCUUUAGUUAGUAGGAGAAGCAAAAGUAAUAUUAAUUGCCUAAUUAGUAAAAAUAUAAGACAUUAAUUGCCUAAUUCGUUAAGUAGACUCUUUAAUUUACAUUGCCUAAUUCGUUUUUCUUAUAUUAUUAAGCGAUGGAUUAGUCUAGUGGUGAUCCAAUGUCAUUCUUUGGAUUAACUUGAAAAUUUUAUGACAUUUUAUUACAUAAUAUCUCAAUCAGAGAUUCAUUUUACCAUUAUUUUUUUUUAUGGAAAGUUACAAUUUAUUGGUACUGUUUCAAUUGCAAUUACCUUCUAUCACAACAUGAAAAGCUUAUAGACUUGACUUUAAUGAACUUUUAAGAAAAAUAUAAUAAUAGAAAAUAAAACUAUAUAAUUAGUUGCAAAAAGUAUUUUUCUGAAGUAACAUAAGUAUUUCUUAAAAAGAAUCUACUCCCUCUGUUUCAAAUUCGAUGAUGUACUUUCCUUUUUAGUCUCUUCCAAAAUAAAUGACACAUUUCUAAAUUUGAAAAUAAUUUAACUUUAAACUCUUCAUUUUACCCAUUUUACCCUUAAUGAGAAGCUUUUAUAACCACACAAAUGUCAUGGCCCCACAAAGCUUUUAUCCCUUAAGCUUUUAAAAUCACAAGUUUUAAAAGUCUUCUUUUUUUUCUUAAACUCCGUGCCGAGUCAAACUACCUCAUCUAAAUUGAAACAGAGGGAGUAAUUAAUAUUGUAUCUUAAACUUAGGCAUUGCAAGAAGUGAGAAAGUAGUCAUUUUAGCAAGCGGAUUUUAUACGACAUUUGAAAUUAUACUUUGUAGACUAAUGAUCUUCUUAUCAGGGGACCAUGGCAAUGGAAGCAAUCUUUCUUCCUUAUUUCGAUUUUGAUACAUUACGCUUUAGCAAAGAGGCCAUGAAAAAUAUGAAAAGGCUUAGGAUAUUAAACAUAGGGAAGUGGCAGACCGGUGAUGGUUCCAUUGAUUAUCUGCCCAACAACUUGCGUUGUUUUGUCUGGACUAAGUAUCCUUGGGAGUCAUUGCCAUCUACAUUUGAACCCAAAAUGCUUGUUCACCUUGAACUCCAGAGCAGUUCACUGUGUUCUUUAUGGAUGGAAACAAAGGUACAACAGUUUGAAUUCUAUUUUAUUGCCAUUUAUUUUUUUCUCUAACUAUCUUUGUCCUUUAAUUUAGUGAUAAUGAACAAAUAUUAUUGCUUUUGUCAAGUAUUAUUUGAGGUACUUCCUUUUUUUAGCUAGAAUUAUGAUGCAUGUCUUUAAAUGAACAGAAAUUAGUCCCUCCGGUCCAUAAUAAGUGAUUUUUUUGCCUUUUUAUUUUGGUCCAAAAUAAGUGACCUUUUACAUAAUCAAGAAGAUAUUAAUUUCAAUUUUCCAAACUUUGCCCUUUUUUACAAAUCUCAAUAUGUCAGGUUAACAAUAUGCUAAUUUUAAUUAAAAGUAAUUUCGUCAAAAUACUUUUUUUUAGGAGUUAUUAUUUUCUUAAGGGGUGUGCCAAUAGCCAAAAUGUCACUUAUUAUGGACCAGAGGGAGUAUUAAUUAAUAAGCUCAAAUUAAUGUAUUUCCAUCUCAAAAGAAAUUAUUGUAUUUUAUAUUAUUUGGGAUUGUUCUCACUAUUAUUGUAAGAUAUUUAUGUCCUUUUUUUUUCCAAAUCUUCCCAUCAUCAUUUUAACUAAGAAGCUCAAUUUAAGAACUCAUUCAAUUAUUUCUCAUAGUAAGAUUAGAUUCAUAUGAAUUUCAUCCUAGAUUGCAUACAAUGGGAUGGAAGGAAUACUUAUUAGUAAAACAAAAAGAGUUCAUACAUUGCUUCCGGAUUUAACAUUUGGGUUUCCCCAUUUUAUAUUACACUUUUUAAAAGUGAGAAACACUUUUCUCUUUGCUACCUUUUUUUCAAUCAUGUUAAAUUAUAGUUAGCAAUAUUUUUAUUUAUAAUCUACUUUUAUUCAGUUUCUUAACAAGUAAUUUUCCAUAUAUAAAAAAUAAAUUUCUGAUUCCAUACAAAAUACUGAGUUGGCCCUCAUAAUUCAAAUGCUAUCAUUCAUCUGUUGUCGAGGGAGUAAUAAAUGGAGUACUUUUUGGGAACGCUAGCAACAAGUAAUUAAGAAUUCAAGAAAACAGAGGUCAUUUGAUGCCCACAAAUACAAAUGAAAAAAUAAAACAGUUUCUAAAUUCAUAGUCUCAUAGAUAGCCCCACUAAUCAAAUAUUUUAUUAUUGGAAUCCUGCGGAGCAACAAAAUAGGUUCUUUCUUUUUUCUCAUUCUGUUUGCGUUCUGAACAGCAUUUGCCGUCUCUACGGACGAUAGAUCUCAGCUACUCUAAAAGCUUGAUACGAACACCAGAUUUCAAGGGAAUGCCAAAUUUGGAGUAUUUGAAUUUGGAGGAAUGUAGUAAUCUUGAUGAGGUUCACCAUUCGCUGGGGUGUUGUAGAAAACUCAUUCGGUUAGAUUUGAGUUAUUGUGAAAGCCUUGAGAGGUUUCCAUGUGUUAACGUGGAAUCUCUUGAAUAUCUGACUGUAAAUGAUUGCUAUAGUUUAGAGACAUUUCCAGAAAUUCACGGGAGAAUGAAGCCGAAGAUAGAGAUUCACAUGCUAGGCUCUGGGAUAAGGGAACUACCAUCCUCUUUUUUUCAGUACCAAACUCAUAUUACCGAGCUAGAUUUGAGCGGUAUGGAAAACCUUGUAGCUCUUCCAAGCAGCAUCUCUAGGUUGAAAAGUUUGGUUAUUUUAUGUGUGUUGGGUUGCUCAAAACUUGAAAGCUUGCCAGAAGAGAUCGGGGAUUUAGAAAACUUGGAGAGGCUUGAUGCCACCUUUACCCUAAUAUCACGACCUCCGUCUUCCAUCGUACGCUUGAACAAACUUAGAGUCUUGGAUUUUGGAUUCUGCAAGGAUGGAAUGUACUUUGAGUUCCCUCCAGUGGCUGAAGGAUUAUGCUCGUUGGAAUAUCUGAAUCUCAGUAACUGCAAUCUAACAGAUGGAGGACUUCCGGAAGAUAUUGGAUCCUUAUCCUCUUUGAAAUAUUUGGAUCUCACAGGAAAUAAUUUUGAGCAUUUGCCUCAAAGCAUAGCCCAACUUGGUGCUCUUCGAAUCUUGGACUUAACAGAGUGCGAGAGGCUUACACAACUACCAGAACUUCCACCAGAAUUAAAUGAAUUGUAUGUAGAUUGUCAUAUGGCUCUGAAAAGUAUCCAUGAUUUAGUAUCAAAGAGAAAGAAACUACAGAGGGUGAAAUUCUUGCCUCUGUAUGGUAAGGAUGAUGCACAUAAUGAUUCUAUAUAUAAUUUGUUUGCACAUGCCCUGUUUCAGAAUAUCUCUGCUUCAUAUUCCUUGUCCGAAAAUGUACUUACCAUUUGGCAUCCUCACAAGAAGAUCCCAAGUUGGUUCCUCUAUCAGGGAACGGAUCGUAGAGUAUCAGUGAAUUUGCCUGAAAAUUGGUAUAUACCUGAUAAAUUCUUGGGAUUUGCUGGAUGUUACAAUGGCAGCUUAAUUGACACCACAGCUCAAUUGAUUCCCAAAUGUGAUGACGGGAUGUCGUGCAUGACCCAGAAACUUGCUCAAAUUUGCAUGACCCAUUCAAAUCUUGAUAAAGAAUAUAAUAUACAUUUUUUCUUUGUACCUUUUGCUGGCUUAUGGGAUACGUCUAAGGCAGAUGGACAAACACCAAAUGACUAUGGGCUUAUUAGGCUAUCUUUUUCUGGAGAAAUGAAGAAGUAUGGACUUCAUUUGUUGUAUAAAGAAGAACCUGAGGUUGAGGCCUUGUUACAAAUUAGGGAAAAUAACAAUGAACCAACAGAAUAUCGCAUUGAGAUAAGGAGUAGCAGAUCUGACAAUAGUGAACACCAUGACUCCGUGACAGAUGAAGCCAGUUGCUGUCGCAUACUGUAAUAACAUUAGAAACAAAGGUCACAUUCUAAUGAAAGUAAGUUGCAAGUUUGGAAGCCCUUUGCUCUAAAGUCGGUGGCAUUGCCUUUGAAGAGCAUAUGUUUCCUUUGUUUGUAGCAGAACAACUAGACUCUUGGCCUGAGAAAGAGAUUCGCGAGAGAACUUACUUGGGUAUGCAAUAAUCCAUUCUUUUUAAAUCUACACAUAUCUAUACUAUAUACUGGUCUUAUUAGUAAAGGUGACGUGACACCUCUCUUAAACCAGAAUAGUAGUCUUGUGAAAUGAUAUCACAUCUUCGCCUUUGCUGACAGGUAGACUUUCAAAAACCAAUUCAGAUGAAUGUUCGCGAAGCAAGAAAGCUGUGCCGAAAUGGAUGGAUGAAAGAAGCCUUGGAACUGUUCUUCCUUUGGGAUGUAGAGCUCAACUAGUCUUGUAUUCUCUCCGUCAGAAACUGAUGUUCACCUUUUCACUUGCAAAAUAAUUUUCAUCUUGGAAAAACCAGAAGUUUCUUACACACUACAUAACUUUAAAUGUUGCUUGUCGUAAUGAUCAUGCUCUAACUUUAGCAAUACACUUUUGCAGGGCCAUUUUCAUAUUUGUACCAAGUUAAAUGUGGAGGUUCAGUUUAGUAUAGAGGGAGUAAAACAUCUUCUUAAAUAUUGUGUUUUUUUUCUUCAUAAAAAGUCAUGAAAAGGAAAAAUCUGUUUCAUUUGGAACUUCAAUCGCAGAAGUACCAGAUUAAUCAACUUAAUAUAUCAUGAAAAUAGCAGAAAUCAGAAAUUUCAAAAAACACUUGCAACAAACAUGCAUGUUUCCUAGGAAAGCUUUCCAAAACUUAAAAAACCUUGCAACAAAGUAUGCUUUCUUUACUUGUGUUUGUGCUAUUCUUUUCUGACAAAAUCGAUGUAUAUGAAGGUGUUGAGAUACGUUGGAGUCGUGGAUGGUGUCAAUGGAAAAGCGACUGUCAAGCUGCAAAAAUACAAUAAUGAACGCCCAUUUGCACAACUCUCAGGAUCGGAUAACAUAAUUACAUUUACAAUUGAAAGACAUGCGAAGAACCAUUAGUAGUGUGUGGUCCAGUUGCUGGAGCUGAAGUGACUGCUUGUGGAGUAUGCUGUGACAUCUGGCUGACUUGCAUCAACUAUUGGUGCUCCAUCUUAAUUCAUUUACUGCAAGGCAGUGAAGGGCAGUCCGGUGCACUAAGCUCCCGCUAUAUGGGGGUCCGCGGAAGGGCCGAAUCACAAGGGUCUAUAGUACACCGUCUUACUCUGCAUUUCUGCAACAUGUUAUUUUCACUGUUCGAACCCGUGACCUCCUGGUCAUAUGGCAACAACUUUACCAGUUACGCCAAGGCUCCCCUUCAAUUACUGCAAGCCAGUAUUUUGCUUUUUUUUUUUUUUUUUUUUUUUUUAUUACCAAGUUUUAGACUUUGUUGUAUGAUUUUCAUGUGGAAAGAUGUAUUUGGUGUUAAGGUUGUAGUUCAAUUAUUAACUUCCCUUUUUAUUACCAAGUUUCAGACGUUUGAUGUGCCACACUGUAGUCUCUAUGCUUUACAUGGUGUUGCCGUUUAAGCAACAACAUGCACGGCUCACUCUGUGGCUUGUCUCUUCUCUUCUUCUAUAGGAUAGGAUUUUUUUGUAGCUUGCUUAUUUGUAAAUUGCAACUCUGAUAUUGAUUCAAGCCUGCUCCAAAGUCAGCAGCGAGGUCAGCUCCAUCUCCUCUUUCCUUUGUCUUUUUUACUGUUCAUCCUUGACCUUCUUUCCGAACUCGUUAACACCGGAACACCCGCCAUGAAGGUCACUCAAAAGUAACCUACUCGAGCUUCGCCCUUUGUAUAUAAGUUGUAUUUUGGUUGAAAUCAGUUAGUGAAGCAGAUUGGUGAUGUAUGUUGAUGCAUCAUCAACGACUAUAUAGUGUUCAUAUAGCCGACUAUAAGUCUGUAACUCUCUUGAGAUUGAGGCGUAAUUAUUGUUAUUUGUACCUAAAAAUAAGGUGUACAUUUGGUUCUUUUGAUUUGGUUGUUUGUUUUUUAAUUUUGAAAGAAAAUAAAUCCAAUUCGAAGUAAAAUAGAUUUGGUUUGGUUCAAUUUUCUUUUUUGUUCGAAUUGAUUUUUUGGGUUUUCAAUUAUCAAGCAAAAUAAUAUUUAUAGAAAAACCAUAAAAGGAGUUCAUUUUUGUGAAACAUGAAAUAAAAAAUUUACAACUGAAACUAUUGCCAUUUUACAUAGAAUUAAGUAGACAUAGUAUUUGAACUUUGGAGCAAUAAUUCUAUUCAACUGGGCAUAUUGUUUUCUUUGUUUCUUCAUCGGCUUGUACUUUUAGCUGCCCAUUGUGUACAUCUUAUAGUGGACUUUUGGUUUCCUAAUACAUUCUAUUACAUACAGUUCAAAGAAAACUCAAUAAACAAUAAUUCUAAUCAACUGGAGAAAGAGAUUAAGAAGCUUUACAGAAAUUUCCUACUACUUACUUCUAUUAAUAUUCAAUAAAAAUGUACCACAUAUAAUGCUAUAUAGAUAUAUAUAUAUCAGUUGACUAGAUCCAAUAGCAAUAGUUUUAUUCAACUGGAGUAGAGCCCAUCGUCUUAGAAGCUUUCAUAUUUGAAGUGAUACUUGCUUAUUCUUCUCUGCUGUAUGUAAUAUUUUUCUGAAAUAUCAUCAGCUAUUCAGCUGAUCUCUUAACACGACCACAAUCUAUCCACACAGUUUUUUUUCAUAUCAACCAAUAAACUGAAUCCAUGGCAUCAUCUUCUUCUUUCGCGAGUAAUUCACAGUACUGUCCUGGAUGGAAGUACGAUGUUUUCCUAAGUUUUAGAGGUGAAGAUACUCGCAAAACGUUUACUGGGCACUUAUAUGAAGGCUUGAGAAACAGGGGAAUAUUCACCUUUCAAGACGCCAAAAGGCUAGAGCAUGGCGCAUCAAUAUCAGAAGAACUUUGUAAAGCUAUCGAAGAGUCUCAAGUUGCCGUCAUCAUUUUCUCAAAAAAUUAUGCUACAUCGAGGUGGUGCUUGGAUGAACUAGUGAAGAUCAUGGAAUGCAAGACUAAAUUUGAACAAACUGUCAUACCGGUCUUCUAUGAUGUGGAUCCAUCAAUAAUUCGAUACCAAAAGCAGAGCUUUGCUGAAGCCUUUUACAAACAUGAAUCAAAGUUUAAGGAUGAUGUUGAGGGAUUGCAGAAGGUAUAAAGAUGGAGGAAUGCUUUAACUGAAGCGGCAAAUCUCAAAGGCUGUGAUAUUCGUGACAGGUGAGUUAAAAACACUUUAGCUUGAACAGAGGGAAUACUUUGCAUUCAAAUUUGGAUGCUUCUAUGAAGACUAGCUACACAUAUUCUAUACCUCAAAAAUGAGUUAAACAGAACCCUUAAAUAAUUUUUUCAUAUUUUCUAAAAGAAGAUUGAUGGUUGAUUAUAUAUGCUUCUAUAAGUAAGAAGACAUAGCUUAUCAGUUUAAUUACUCAAUUAUAUUGUUACGUAGAUACUAUUUUGAUUGGUUCUUCAAGAGUUUGAUUUAUGUGUCCUUUUUAUCAUAAUUAUGCGCUAUACGGUGUGAAACACUUCUUGUUAUUGACUUUCUUACCUGUAUAUAUCAACAAUGUUUUUAUUUUUUGUAGGAUUGAAUCAGACUGCGUUCAGCAGAUCGUUGACCAAAUUUCCAAGUUAUGCAAGUUUUCUUUAUCUUAUUUGCAAGAUAUUGUGGGAAUAAAUCCACAUUUAGAGGAAGUAAAAUCCCUACUACAGAUAGAAAUCAAUGAUGUUCGGCUUGUGGGGAUCUGGGGCAUGGGAGGAGUUGGUAAAACGACAAUAACAAGAGCCAUUUUUGAUACACUCUCGUAUCAAUUUGAAGUUACUUGCUUCCUUGCGGAUGUUAAAGAAAACAAUUGUGGAAUGCAUUCUUUGCAAAAUAUCGUUCUUUCAGAACUGUUAAGGGAAAACGCUAAUUACGUGAAUAAUAAGGAGGACGGAAAGCACUUGAUGGCUCGUAGACUUCGUUCUAAGAAGGUUUUAGUUGUGCUUGAUGACAUAGAUCACACAGACCAUUUGGAGUACCUAGCAGGGGAUCUUGGUUGGUUCGGCAAUGGCAGUAGAAUUAUUGCAACAACUAGAGACAAGCAUUUGAUAGGGAAGAAGGAUGCAUUAUAUGAAGUGACUACACUAGCUGACCGUGAAGCUAUUCGAUUGUUCAAUCGAUAUGCUUUUAAGGAAGAAGUUCCAGAUGUGUGUUUUGAGAAGCUAACAUUGGAAGUAGUAAGUCAUGCUAAAGGCCUUCCUUUAGCGCUGAAAGUGUGGGGUUCUUUCUUACAUAAGAGGGAUAUAAAAGAGUGGAGAAGUGCUAUACUGCAAAUGAAAAAAUACUCCAAUUCAGAAAUUGUUGACAAGCUCAAAAUUAGUUAUGAUGGAUUAGAGCCCAUGGAGCAGGCGAUAUUUUUAGAUAUAGCAUGCUUCUUACGAGGGACAGAAAAGGAUGAGAUCAUACAGAUUCUUGAGAGCUGUGAUUUUAGAGCUGAUAUCGGAUUGCGUGUCCUAAUUGACAAAUCUCUUGUGUUCAUCUCCGAAAAAGAUACGAUUGAAAUGCAUGACAUAAUACAAGAUAUGGGUAAAUAUGUAGUGAACAUGCAAAAGGAUCCGGGAGAACGUAGCAGACUAUGGCUCGCUAAAGAUUUCGAAGAAGUGAUGACCAAUAAUACGGUAAGUAGGCUAAACAAUGCAAUAAUAUUCAAUUUCUAGUUUUUAUAUUCCAAAAAUAUAUAGGGUGAUUUCCAAAUGUAUGUUCCUCUUGUUUCAUAUUCUCGCACAUUAGUCAUUUUAGUUGUUUACUUUAGUAGGAGAAGCAAAAGUAACAUUAAUUGCCUAACACUGCCUGAUUCGUCAAGUAGCCACUUUGAUUAACACUGCAUAAUAUAUUUUUUUUAUGCUAUUAAGCCAUAGUAGUCUAGUAGCCAUUUAAUCUGUUUGAUCCAAUUUCAUUCUUUGGAUUAACUUGAUAAGUGUAUGAUAUUUUAAUAUUUUAUGACUGAUUGAUUAUUUUUUAUUUUAAAUAACUUCAAGUGCAAUAUUAAAUAGUACAAACCAUGAUGAAAUUUGGCAACUGGAGGAGUGAGAAAGUAGUCAUAUUGGCAAAGCGAAUUUUAUAUGACAUUUGAAGUUAUACUUUGUGGACUAAAAAUCUUUUUACCAGGGGACCAAGGCAAUGGAAGCAAUCUGGUUUCAUUAUUCUCAACGACUAUACUUCAGCAAAGAGGCCAUGAAAAAUAUGAAAAGGCUUAGGAUAUUCUACAUACGUGCGUACUUGAAUUCGUGGAUCCGUGAUGACUUCAAUUGCCAUGAUGGCCCCAUUGAGUACCUGUCUAACAACUUGCGUUGGUUUGUCUGGGAUCACUAUCCUUGGGAUUCAUUGUCAAUUAAUUUUGAACCUAAAAGGCUUGUUCAUCUUCAAUUCUGGCGCAGUUCAGUGCAUCAUUUAUGGACAGGGAUAAAGGUACAAUAGCUGAAUUAUUUAUUUUUUUCCUCUAACGUUUUCCUUUAAUUCAGUGAUAUUGACCAUAUAUUAUUGCUUUUGUCCUGUUUUAUUUGAGUUACUUACUAUUUUGGCUUGUCCUAGAAUUGUGAUGCAUGUCCUUAAAUGAAAAAAAAUUGUUAAUUCCAAAUGCUCAAAUUAAUGUGUUAUACAUAUAUUAUUCCUUAUGUAAUGUUUCUGCAACCUUUCUAUAUUAUCCUAAAUUGUAUAUUGUGUAAGUUUGCAUACAUUGCUUCUGAAUUUAACACUUUGUUUUCCCAUUUUAUAUUACACUUCUUGAAAGAGUCAUACAUUUUUCUAUUUGGCUACAAUAUUUUUCAAUCAUGUCUAAAUAAAUUUAUCAGUACUUUUAUUUAUAAUACACUUUUAUUUAGUUACUAAACAUAUAAUUUCCAUAUUAAGAUUAAAAUAUUAAUUUCUAAUUUCACACAAAAUAAUGUGUUGACCCUCAUGAUCCAAAUGUAAUCGUUCAUUAUUGGUCUUGGGAGUAAAUCUUUUACUUAAUACUUUUUAGGAACACUAGCAACAAUAAUUAAAAUUCAAGAGAACAGAGGUCAUUUGGGAAGAAAAAAAAAAGAACGAAAUAGUUUCUUGAUUCAUAGAUAGCCCACUACCAUAUUGAUAUGAUAAUUCUUUUAUCCGUCUGUUCUUGUGUUUGCUGUCUCUCAUUCUUUUUGUGUUCUGAAUAGCAUUUGCCGUAUCUGCGAAAGCUAGAUCUCAGGGAAUCUGAAAGCCUGAUGCGAACACCAGAUUUUACGGGGAUGCCAAAUUUGGAGUAUUUGAAUUUGAAGAAAUGUAGUAAUCUUGAAGAGGUUCAUUAUUCCCUGGGAUGUUGCAGCAAACUCAUUCGGUUAGAUUUGGAUAGUUGUCGUCGCCUUAAGAGGUUUCCAUGUGUUAACAUGGAAUCUCUUGAAUAUCUGGGACUAUAUUGUUGCUAUAGUUUAGAGAAAUUUCCAGAAAUCCUAGGAAGAAUGAAGCUGGAGUUAAAGCUUUACAUGCAAUACUCUGGGAUAAGAGAACUACCAUCAUCUAUUACUCAGUGCCAAACUCACAUUACCAAGCUAAAUUUGAGCAAUUUAAGAGACAUUGCAACUCUUCCAAGUAGCAUUCGCAUGUUGAAAAGCUUAGUGGAGCUAGAUGUGUCGGAUUGCUCAAAACUUGAAAUCUUGCCAGAAGAGAUAGGGGAUUUAGAAAACUUGGAGAAGCUUGAUGCUGCACGUACUUUAAUUUCACGGCCUCCCUCUUCCAUUGUAUGCUUGAACAAACUUAAAUUGUUGUCUUUUGAUCAAAGAGAAUCAAAAGAAGGCCAAGUCGUGUAUUUUGUGUUCCCUCCGGUGGCUGAAGGGUUACACUCAUUGGAAAUUUUGCAUCUCAGUGACUGCAAUCUAAUAGAUGGAGGACUUCCAGAAGACAUUGGAUGCUUAUCCUCUUUGAAAAAGUUGUAUCUCGGUUACAAUGAUUUUGAGCAUUUGCCUCAAAGCAUAGCCCAACUUGGUGCUCUUCAAUUCUUGUACUUAUCAGGUUGCAGUUUGCUUAAAGAGUUGCCAGAUUUCAUGGGGAUGCCAAAUUUGGAGAAGUUGGAGCUGUCAUAUUGUGAGAAUCUUGAAGAGGUUCAUCAUUCCCUAGGAUUUUUUAAAAAUCUCCGUAAAUUAUCAUUGGAUACUUGUGAACGGCUGGUCUGUGCAUUGAUUCUCUUGAAUUUCUGUGGAUACGGGGUUGCUCUAGUUUAGAAAAAUUUCCAGAAAUCCAUGGAAGCAUAAACUCUGAGUUAGAGAUUCACAUGCAAGGCAAUGUGAUAAGAAAUCUAGAUUUGAGAGGUCUAGAAAACCUUGUAACACUUCCGAGCUGCAUUUGUAAGUUUAAAAGCUUGGUGAAGCUAGAUGUGUCAGAUUGCUCAAAACUUGAAAUCUUGCCAGAAGAGAUAGGGGAUUUAGAAAACUUGGAGUGGCUUGAUGCCAGAGAUACUAUAAUCUCACAACCUCCGCCUUCCAUUAUCCUAUUGAACAAGCUUAAAUUCUUGAGUUUUGCAAAACAAAAAUCACAACUAGGCGUCGAAGAUGAAGUGUACUUUGUGUUCCCUCCGGUGGCUCAAGGAUUACGCUCAUUGGAAAUUCUGAAUCUCAGUUACUGCAAUCUAAUAGAUGGAGGACUUCCGGAAGACAUUGGAUGCUUAUCCGCUUUGAAAGAGUUGAAUCUCAGUGGAAAUAAUUUUGAGCAUUUGCCUCGAAGUAUAGCCCAACUUGGUGCUCUUCGAUCCUUGGACUUAACAGAGUGCACGAGUCUUACACAGCUUCCAGAACUUCCACCAGAAUUAGAUGCAUUGCGUGCAGAUUGUCAUAUGGCUCUGAAAAGUAUUCAUAAUAUAGCAACCAAGAAGAAGAAAUUACAGCGGGUGACAUUCAAACCACUGUAUGAUAACGAUGAUACGUACAAUGAUUCAAUCUGUAAUUUGUUUACUAUUGUACAUUCUGAGAAGAAGGUCCCAAGUUGGUUCCAUUAUCAGGGAACUGAUAGAACUAUAUCUGUCAAUUUGCCUGAAAAUUGGUACAUAUGGGAUAACUUCUUGGGAUUUGUUGUAUGUUACUUUGGCAGCGUAGUUGAAACCAUAGCUCAAUUGAUUCCCUUAGGUGAUGUUGGGAUAUUGUCGAUGACCCAGAAACUUGCCUCACACGACUAUUCAAGAUGUGAAAUGAAAUCGAUGAUUCAUUUUUUCUUAGUAGCUCUUGCUGGCUUAUGGGAUACAUCUAAGGCAAAUGGAAAAACACCAAAUGACUAUGGUCUUAUUAGGCUAUCUUUUUCUGGAGAAAUGAAGGAGUAUGGAUUCCGUUUGUUGUAUAAAGAUGAACCUGAGCUUGAGGCGUUGUUACAAAUGAGGGAAAAUAACAAUGAGCCAACAGAACAUUGCAUUGGGAUAAGGAGGAGCAGAUAUGACAAUAGUGAACACCAUGACUCCGUGACCAAUGAAGCCAGUUCCUCGUCUUGUAAGAAACAUCGAAAUACCGUGUGAUUCAAAGCCCAGCUAGUUUUGGUUUUAGUUGUAUGAAAAAGAUGGGUUUGAGUCGAGGACGAUGAGGUUGCAGUUGAGUUCUGGCGAGAUUUUGAGGUUCUCGGUUAGUCGCGGCUAAGAAAAGUGUAAACCCAGAUUCAUUUUUUGAAAAGGCUUCUAAAGGUCCAUUGCUCACCUAUUAUCUUUUCUGCACUCAUCCUUCAAAUAUAGAAGUGUUCUUAGCGAAUUUGUUUGAAUUUUCAUGUCAUCUAUGUAAUCUAUUGAGAUUUCAUGAGCUUUUGUCAUGUUUCAGUUAUCAUUUAUUGAGAUGAAUUAUUUAUUAGUAUUAAUAAGUUUUUCUAGUUUCAUUGAUAGUCCCUACUAGUGGGAUUUUACUAGGUCGUUGUUGUUGUUGUUGUUGUUGUUAUUGUUGUUGUUGUUGUAGCAGUAGUUUCAUUGAUAGGUUGAAAUAUGACGUUUUUGUUUGUUUGAGCUAAAAACGAAAAGAGAUUUUGACUUAUUGCUAGUGGUCUAUGGGAUCUGAUUUAGUUCGUUGGGUGUAGGUUUGUAAAAAUAAUACGGGCUAGCCAGUUUUCGGACUGGUCAUUCAAAAAUAGCCAGCGUUUGCCAAGUCAUUAAAAAAUAGCCACUAUUUUGCUGCAACAGAGACCGGUCCAGCAUAAUAUACUGGAGUUCGAUGCACCUGUGUAUGAACUUCCAGCAUAUUAUGCUGGAACUCCAACACGCAGAAAGUUCCAGCAUAAUAUACUGGAGAUUCGAGCACCUGUGUAUGAACUUCCAGCAUAUUAUGCUGAACCAGUGUACUUUGCUGGAACUCUAGUAUAAUAUACUGGAGUUCUAGUAUACUUAUGCUGGAACUCUAGUAUGAGUUCCAGCAUAAGUAUACUGGAACUCCAGUAUAUUAUGCUGGAGUAUUUUUCAGAUUUUGAACAGUGUUUUCGUUCAGAUUUAUCUUUACAUGAAAAAUGGCUAAAUUUUAAUUACUUUUGAAACUGUGGCUAUUUUUGAAUAACCACUUGUAAAUUUGACUAUUUUUAAAUUUCUCUCUGUAGGUUUAUACUACAAGAGAAUGGGUCUAUUACCUUGAUUUUGCUUAUUUGGCCACUUUCUGAAAUAACAAAUUUGUUUGAACUCAUAAUUUCCAACGUAGUACUUCAAGAGCCAUGGAUUCUGUUUGAUUUGGCCUUAAUUUCUGUUUGAUCAGUAUCUGUUUAUACCUUACUUGAACCAAUAAAGCUACUGUGUGGCGUGGAUAUAAAAGGAUGUGAAAGGAGCAUGAAUGGCUAUUUGAUAAACAUAUGUACAAGUUAAGUGAAUUGGUUGGAGGUUUAUUCCUUCCAUUUUUGUUUGAUCUACUACUAUACUUAUGAACACAUGUUUUUGUAUUGUGAAAUUUAUGGAGUUUGUCUCCUUACUGUUUGUUUCAAUAUAGUCAUUGAGUUGGUUUCUGGGUUAAUUAGCAAUUGGAGUACUCGGAUGCUUAAACCAUUUUAUCCCAAGGCUACAUGUUAAGAAAGGUUUGUUAAGUUGGACAAGUUGUUUGGUUUAGUUGGCGUAGAAACAAGAACUUUUGAUAGUUAAUUUGAAUUUGUCACGGCCCAAAAUCCCUCCGAAGGAGUCGUGAUGUCACCUAAUCUCUAAAACUAGGUAAGCAACUAGGUAAGCAUAACACAUAUCAAAAUGAUAACAGGUUUUACUAAACAGGUAUUAAACAUGGACCGGAAAUUUCUAAAUAAGCCAAUAGUCUCAACAUCAUACAUUCUCCCAAACCGAUAGUACAAGUCAUAAGCCUUUCUAGAAGUAAUUAACAUAAUGAAUACAUCAUUGUUCUAGAGUAAUAGGAAACAAUGGAAAUAAAUACAAUAGAAGGUGACUUCGGGGCCUGCGAAUGUCGAACAGGUAUACUUUGAAGUCUCUAGCAGCGUAGACAUAAGUCUUCAACCAACUCAAUCAUAAGUACCUGAAUCUGUAUAGAAAAAUAUGCAGAAGUGUAGCAUGAGUACACCACAGCCGGUACUCAGUAAGUAUCAAGACUAUCAUCGGUGGAAUAGUGACGAGGUACCGUCAAGACACUCACUAGUCAAAUAACAUAUGCAAUAUAGCAGCAUAACAAUAAUAAUGAAAAACAUGAAGCAGGAAAUGGCAACAAAAAUCAACCACGGAAAUAAAAAACAAAGCAAUAAUAAUUCCGUAGAGUAUCAAUCAAAAACAAAUUAGGAACACGAGUACAACCAAUUAAUCAAGUCUUUCAAAUUCAGGUUUUUCACAACAAGGUCACUCUGUGGUAUCUUAUCUCAUAAUCACAAAUCACGAGUCCCAACCCACUAUCAUAUUCUCACGGCACCUCGUGCCCACAUCUCAUAUCACUUUCGCGCGAAAAAAUCCACAUGCUACCAUGUACUUUAUAUCCGUGUCCAAUGCUAAUAAAAAAAUGUUCGAAGGAGCAUUUUAUUUCCAAUAAAGUAAAAUUUCAAUUUUUGAAUCAAGUAGAAAAGCAACAAGGAAAUGAGUUUAAAUAAAGUAUCGGAUAAGCUACUGAUUUGAAUAUAGAAUUUAAUAAAUUAAACAUAAUAGCAAUUUCUUUUUAAGUAAAGUAGAAACACUAGAUAGGGUAAUGAGAUUAAGUUGAGAAAUCAAUUAAAGUGAAAUAGACGACUAUUAAAAAUAGUAAAGUACCGAAUGAAAAACGAGUCUUAACUUAAGAGUCAUAGAAGGUAAGGAUGUCGCUAAUUCGUUUAUUUACAACCGUUAUAUUACUAACAACUCAGCAGGAUAUGAGGUAAUGACUCAACGUAGUAAAUUCAUCUUGAAAAUCAAUUCACCAAAAUAGUAGUAUUAGGAAAAGAAUUCAACAAAUGACGGCAAGGCAAUGAAUUAAUGAAAACAACUCAAUCUUUAGAGUCUCACACGAAAGAAUCGAAGCCAAUUCAAUACAACAAGGAAUACAAAAUACAUAAAUUGUUGCGGCGUGCAAUCCGAUCCCAUCGUACAAUACUAUUCACCCUUAUUCCACCAUGUAAAUAUCAAUAAUAAUAAAUAAAUAUAUGUUGCGGCGCGCAACCUGAUCCCACCAUAUAAUCAGAGUCAAUAUCAUAAUUCACCCUUAUUUCACUAUAUCAAUUCACCCUUCUUUCACCUGUUGCGGCAUGCAACCCGAUCCCACCGUACAAUAUCAAUAUCAUACUUCACCCUUAUUUCACCAUAACAAUUCACCCUUAUUUCACAUGUUGCGGCAUGCAACCCGAACCCACCGUACAAUAUCAUAAUAGUAAACAAAAUAUGUUGCGGCGCGCAACCCGAUCCCACCAUACAAUAUUGAUAUCAUAAUUCACCCUUAUUUCACCAUAACAAUUCACCCUUUUUCACCUGUUGCAGUGUGCAACCCGAUCCCACCGUACAAUAUCAAUAUCAUAAUUCACCCUUAUUUAACCAUAACAAUUCACCUUUAUUUCACAUGUUGCGGCGUGCAACCCCAUCCCACCAUACAAUAAUUUAAAUCAACAACAACAAUUAAAUAAUUCAGUUUACAGAAAUUUCUACAAUCAAGGGUAUGAGUACACGGCAAUAAAGGAACCACGUAAAAAUCAAGGGAAUACAACAAACUUUACAAAAAUGACAUAACAAGUAAGGCACAUGAUAACUAAGAUGUGCAAUCAUAACUAGGGAUUAUUUUAGGAAGAUUUUCACAACUACGCAUGUCUCCAGUAAUUGAAAUGCUAUAAAGGAAUGAUCCUAAAAGCUAUAAUAACACUGACCUAUACCCACUAGAUAAUCCUCUCACAAACGAUGAGAUUAUUAAGGCAUGCUUCUCCUUUAAAUCAUUCAAAGCUCCAGGCCUGGAUGACCUUCACCCUUUCUUCUUCCAAAAAUAUUGGAACAUUGUUGGCAAAUCAAUAACUAGCCUUUGUCAAGAAGCUUUCAAUAGUGGAAAAAUUCCUAAUGGCAUAAACGAUACCCUCCUAUGUCUUAUCCCAAAAAUUCCUAAUGCUAAUAACUUAAAUUUUUUUAGGCCUAUUGGACUAUUUAACACUAUUUACAAAAUCAUUACCAAAGUCAUUUCAAAUCGAUUAAAGCCCUUCCUGAAUAGACUCAUUAGCCCCUAUCAAUCUAGUUUUACAAAAAAUAGAAAGGCUAGUGACACUGCUAUUAUUAUUCAAGAACUCAUACUCAAAUUAAAUAGAUACCAUGGUAAAAAACAAAAUAUGUUCUUAAAAAUUGACCUCAAAAAGGGUUUUGAUUGUCUUGAAUUAUCUUUCAUCUAUAGAGCUUUCACCUUCUUUAAAUUCCCCCAAACAUUACUAAGCUUAUUAUGAACUGUAUUUCCUCAACCAAAAUUUCUAUCCUAGUCAAUGGCUCUAGAACUGAUUACUUUGCCCCUACAAGGGGUAUUAGGCAAAGCGAUCCGAUGUCUCCAUACUUAUUUAUCCUUUGUAUGGAAAUGCUUUCCACUCUUAUCAAUCACAAAGUAGAUAUGGGUUGCAGGGAUCCAAUAACUAUAGGUAAGAACAAUUAUCAAUUGUCACACCUGUUCUUCGCGGAUGACCUUACCCUAACGUGUAGGAUCAAUAACAAAUCUAUAAAUACGAUUAAGCAUUGCCUUGAUCUAUUUUGCUCCUUGUCAGGGCUGACAAUCAAUAGGGCAAAAUCAAAAAUUAUCAUCUCCAAACACUUCCCCCAAAACAUCUGCAACAACUUAUCUAAAUUGCUCAACAUUAAUAUUAGUUACACAUUUGGAAAAUACUUAGGCUUUCCUAUUACAAAUUCAAAAACUAGAGCGAGUGAUUUCCAAUUUGUUAUUGAUAAUAUGCUAGCAAGAUUAGCCACCUGAAAAAUAAAUUGUCUUACCAUGGCAGGAAGGUGCACCCUAGCUACCUCGUUCCUAAAUUCUCUCCCUAACCAUAUUAUGCAAUAUACCCUAUGUAUUGGUAAAAAUAAAUAUUACACGUGUAAUUAUAUAUGUGGCUGAUAUGGCAAGACACAUGGAUCACUAAGAAAGCAACAGCUGGAGAGUUGCAAUAAAAGAUGCACGAGUCGUAAUAGGUAUGAGUAAAUUACUCACGAGAUGAAAGAGGUACGGUUGCUCGAGCCUAAAUUAUUAAAUGAAGAGACACUGGCAGGAUAAAUCAAGACAGUAAAGAGGGAGGAUUCACGAAUCGUCAAUUAAUGAGGAUGAAGGAUCAUAAACAUUACAGAAUCUUCAUGAACAGUUACGAUUGCCAAUUGUAACGUCUCAUUAAUGUCAUUAAUGCUCAUAAUGAUUCGGUCAUAAAGAAACGUUGUACUUAUAGAUUCCUAUAUAAGGGAAGGAGAUUUCAUUUGUAAGGACACGUUCUGAUUAUUAUUGGAAUACAAUUACUUUCUUUUGCUUUCAAUCGAUUUUUUUUGCUAUUUCUCAUAUUAAUUUUCUUUCUUAUUAUUGAGAGAAUACAGGAUUUCUUGGUUAUCAGUAGCCCGAGUACUUCUAAAAAUAGGCUUUGACUGAGAAUCUAAUUUUUUGGUUAAACAAAUUAGUUCCGUUACCGGGAAUCUAAUAAUCUUCUUACUUUCCAAAAUCUUUCUCUCUCACAACCAAAUCAUGUCGAUUGUCAAUGACAAUAACCGGCAGGUGGAAAGGACUCCAGUUCCAUCACCUCAGGGAACAUCACGCACUUUACGAGAAGGGUCACCUGAAAGAUCUACUACUCACAAUAAUGAACAACAUGGAGAUGAACAAAUCAUUGAGCAGGAUGCUGUGAAGCAGUUGAUCGCUGAACACGUGAAUAAUGCCCUCCAGGCUUUCGUGAGAGGACUAUCAGCUGUGCCACCAGCUCCUCCUCCAAAUAGUACUACAACUAUGGAAAUCCCACGCUUAGGAUUAGCUAAUUCAGGAAGCGGGGGAACUCCCAAUGAGUCACGUUAUGGGAGACCAGGUACGCCUAAUAAUUAUGAUUUAUAAACUUUAUUACUAACCUUGCAGAAACAGGUGAAAGAACAAAACGACCGUAUUGAGAAAAUACCUGGCGUACCACCUGUGAUUAAGGGAAUAGAUAUUGACAAAUAUUCGCAACAAUCUUGAAAACCAAGCGCAACUCCAUUGACCAUCACCAAGAAGUUCAAAAUGCCUGACAUCCCAAAAUAUGAUGGAACGACUGAUCCACGUGACCAUGUCACUGCGUUCACCACAGGAGUAAAAGACAAUGAUUUAACCAAACAGGAGAUCGAAUCAGUGUUGUGGUAAAAACGUUUGGAGAAACACUCACGAAAGGGGCGUUAACGGGGUGUUCUCUUUCACCUGAAAAGUCUAUUGACUCUUUUUCUGAGCUUGAAGAUUUGUUUAUAAAAGCACACUCGGGAGCUCAAAAAGUGGAAAAAAGAAUGGAAGACAUCUUUAAAGUAAAGCAAGGUGAUACAGAAUUGCUUCGAGGAUUUGUAGACAGAUUCCAGCGUGAAAGGAUGUUGUUACCAAGAGUACCUGACAAUUGGGCGGCCAUGACAUUUGCAAGUAAUUUAAAUGAAAGAAGUUCAGAAGCUAUGAGAAGAUUUAAAGAAAGCUUACGAGAGUUCCCUUCCACAACAUGGAAUGAUGUCUAUAAUAGGUAUAGUGCCAAGUUGCGGAUCGAAGAAGACAUCAUUGCUCAAUCAAAUGUUGAUGAGAAAACAGGGUCGAGACGGUCAGAAUCUGAGAAAAGGUCUGGUAAAAAUAGGUACGAGCCUUAUAUGGGACCCUCAGGACGAGAUUCACGUUCAAAACCAGAAAAUACACGACCCGAUCAUAGAUUUAUAAACCGAGAUUCAGGUUCAUCAUCAUCGAGAUUCAGAAAAGAUCGAAGUGAGCAUAAAAGGGAUACCAACGCAAAUGUAAGGAUUGGUGAUUACAGUUUUAAUAUUAGUACUUCCGAGUUGGUUGCUGUUUUAAGAAGCAUGGGAGAUAAGGUAUGUGGCCAAAGGAAAUGAGAUCAAACCCAAACAGAAGAAAUCCAUAUUUCUGGUGUGAAUUUCACAACAACCAUGGCCAUAAAACAUCAGAUUGCAGACUGUUACAAGGUAAAGUAGAACAUCCGUUGAAGCAAGGGUACUUGAUAGAUCUGUUUAGUGAAAAAGGAAAACAAUAUUACAUGAAAAAUAGACUAGAGCCUCCAAAACCUCCAUCGCCGAAGAGAACAGUGAACGUGAUAAGCGAAGGAGAAGAAGUCAAUGGUGUAACAUACACAACUACGAAAAGGAUGUUAAAGUUCACAGUAACUCACGGGAAGCGAGUUUGUCAAACUUUGGAAGAAGACAACACAACAUUUGACGAUGCAGAUGUGGACGGCUUGAUGAUUCCCCACAAUGAUGCACUGGUAAUAUCUUUACUUAUACAUGAUACUAAUGUAAAACGAGUUUUGAUUGAUUCAGGUAGCUCCGUGAAUAUUAUUUUAUUGUGAGUGGUGAACGAAAUGCUAAUUGGCAAUCAAAUAAUUCCAAAAGCACGUUCCUUAUCUAGGUUUGAUAAUUCAACCGUUAUUACAAAGGGUGAGAUGAAGCUAAAUACAUUCGCGGAAGGAGUCAUCAAAGAAACAAAAUUUCAAGUGAUAGUCACGGACAUGGCCUACAAUGUGAUUCUUGGGAGGCCAUGGAUUCAUGACAUGGAUGAUGUGCCGUCUACAUAGCAUCAGGUUAUUAAAUUCCCUUCAAAAUGGAGAAUUCGACAGAUUCGAGGGGAUCAAAAAACUUCAAAGAAUAUCAACUCAAUGAUGCAGCCAAGACAGAAAGAUACAGGUGCAAACGAGGAAGAUGUGGUAAAUCAAAUCUCAACUGAAAUUGUAUCAAAACAAACCAAUGUGGAUUUGAGACUGGAUGUAACUCAAGAACCAAUGGAGAGUGAAAACAUCAAAACAACAAUUGAGGAACUCGAAGCUGUUGUACUAUUCGGGCAAUGGCCAGAUCGAAAAGUUCAUACUGGAGCAAAGCUAAGCCCGAAAAUGAGAGGUAAGAUAAUUGAAUUCUUAAAACCUAACGCAGAUUGUUUUGCAUGGUCGCAUUCAGAUGUAACAGAUAUACCUCCGGAGGUGAUGACCCAUAAAUUAAAUGAAGAUCCAUCAUAUGUACUUGUCAAGCAAAAGAAGAGGAAGCAAUGAUCAUUCAAAAAUCAAGUGAUCAAUGAUGAGGUACAAAAACUCUUAAAGAUCGGUUCAAUACGCGAGGUAAAAUAUCCUAAUUGGUUAGCUAAUACUGUGGUAGUUCCAAAAAAGAACGGUAAAUGGUGAGUUUGUGUAGAUUACACUCACUUAAAUAAAGCAUGUCCAAAUGAUUCAUUCCCUUUACCGCAUAUAGAUCAAUUGAUUGAUUCUACCGCAGGUCAUGAGCUAUUAAGCUUUUUAGAUGCAUAUUCUGGUUAUAAUCCAAUAAAAAUGGAUCCCUUAGAUGAAGAAAAAACUUCAUUCAUUACGGACAGGGGGACUUAUUGUUACAAAGUCAUGCCUUUUGGCUUAAAAAAUGCUGGAGCCACAUAUCAGAGGUUGGUGACCAAGAUGUUCCAAGAACACCUGGGAAAGAUCAUGGAGGUGUAUAUUGAUGAUAUGUUGGUCAAAUCCACACAAGCGGAAGAUCAUUUUCAACAUUUUUCAAAUACCUUCGAGAUCCUCCGCAACUAUAAUAUGAAAUUGAACCCAGAAAAGUGCGCUUUUGGCGUAGCUUCAGGUAAGUUCUUAGGUUUCCUUGUAUCUAAUAGGGGUAUUGAAGUAAAUCCUGCACAGAUUAAAGCUAUUGAAGAAAUACCUGAUAUACUCACGACCAAAGAAGAGGUACAAAGAUUGACAGGUAGGAUUGUAGCUCUGGGAAGAUUCAUUUCAAAAUCUUCAGAGAAAAGUUUCAAAUUCUUUUCAGUGUUGAAAAAGCAAAAUGAGUUCGAAUGGAAUGAGGAAUGCCAACAAGCCCUCAAAAAUUUGAAGGCAUACUUAUCAAAUCCUCCUUUGUUGGCUAAACCAAGGGAUGGAGAGAAACUGUUUGUAUAUCUCGCAGUUUCAGAAAUAGCUGUAAGUGCAGUUUUAGUACGAGAAGACAAAGGUAAGCAAUCUCCAAUUUAUUAUGUUAGUAAAUCUUUGUUGGAUGUUGAGACUAGAUAUCCUCAUCUAGAAAAACUUGCUUUAUCAUUAUUUAUGGCAUCUAGAAAAUUGAGACCAUACUUUCAAUGUCACCAUAUUUCUAUAAUAACUGCAUAUUCUUUAAGGAAUAUUUUGCAUAAACAAGAUUUGUCGGGAAGAUUAGCCAAGUGGGCAAUAGAACUCAGUGAAUAUGAUAUCAUGUACCAACCUAGAACUGCAAUAAAAUCUCAAGUUUUAGCAGAUUUUGUAGCGGAUUUUAGCAAAAAAAAUAGUUCCUGAAUUAGAAAAGGAAUUACAAAUAUUCACUAGAUCUAAUCCAGGUACGUGGACUUUAUUUACUGAUGGUUCCUCAAAUGUUAAAGGAGCCGGUUUGGGUAUUGUCCUAAUUCCACCCUCGGGGGAAAGUAUAAGACAAGCAAUUAAGUGUUACCCUAUUACUAACAAUGAAGCAGAGUACGAAGCUGUAAUUGCAGGUUUGGAACUGGCACGAGAACUCUCCAUAGAGCAAAUUGUGAUUAAAAGUGAUUCUCAGCUGGUAGUCAAUCAGAUGCAGGGGACUUACAUAGCUAGAGAGGCACAAAUGCAACAAUACUUGGAAAAGGCACGAGAACUGAUCAGACAAUUCCAAUCAUGGAAGAUCGUGCAAAUACCCAUGGAAGAAAAUGCAGAAGCGGGUGCGUUAGCUAACCUUGCGUCAGUUGCGGAAGUAACAAGUGCAAAAAAUACUAUUGUAAUACAUUUAUUUCAUUCAGCGCUGGACCAGGAUAAGAAUGGGGUAAGAUUUAAUAAUUUAACCUAGGAUUGGAGAAACGAGAUUGUUAAUUUUUUGCAGUACGGGAUCCUACGUGAUGGCAAGCAAGAGUCUCAAUUGCUUCGACAAAAAGCUGCCCGUUAUUAUUUAAUUCGAGGAAAUUUAUAUCGAAAGAUGUUCGGUGGUCCUUUAGCAAGGUGACUUAGACCCGCUCAAACGGAAUAUGUGAUGAAAGAAGUGCAUGAGAGGCAUUGCGAAAAUCAUGCAGGUGGAAGAUCUUUAGUUAAAACACUAAUCAUGGCAGGAUACUACUGGCCUAAAAUGGAAGAUGAUGCAAAGAAUUUUGUAGACAAGUGUGAUAAAUGUCAACGACACGGCAAUAAUAUGCACCGCCCUGCAGAAUAUUACAUACAGUUAUUUCCCCAUGGCCAUUUAUAAAGUGGGGAAUAGAUAUAAUAGGCCCUUUACCAUAAGCUAAAGGAAAGGUACGAUUAUUUUUAGUAUUAACAGAUUAUUUUUCCAAAUGGGUAGAGGCACGAGCUUUCAAACAGGUACGAGAAAAAGAGAUAAAGGAUUUCAUUUGGCGAAAUAUUAUAUGCCGAUUUGGAAUACCAAAAGAAAUCGUAUGUGAUAAUGGCCCACAGUUUAUAGGCUCGAAAUCACAGAAAUUUUUCAAAGUUGGCAAAUCAAACGAAUAACCUCUUCACCUUAUCAUCCCGUGGCAAAUGGACAAGCUGAGUCGAUAAAUAAGAUUAUCAUUAAUAAUUUGAAGAAGAUAUUGGAGAAAUCAAAAGGCAAUUGGCCUGAGGUAUUACCAGGAGUAUUAUGGGCUUAUAGAACAAUAGAAAAAAUAACUACAAGAGAAACACCAUUUUCACUUGUUUACGGUUCAUAGGCUUUAAUCCCAGUCAAAAUAGGAGAACCAAGUACGAGAUUCACACUGGCGAUGGAAGAGUCAAACGAUGAAGAAUUGAGAACAAACUUGGAUUUACUCGAACAAAGAAGAGAAGUGGCUUUAAUAAGGAUGGCAGCACAAAGGCAAAUCAUAGAACGCUACUACAACAGGAAGGCCCAUCUCAGAUACUUCAAGAUUGGGGACUUCGUUCUCAAAAAGGUUUUCCAAUCAACAAAAAUAACUGGAGCAGGAACGUUGAACCCAAAUUGGGAAGGACCUUAUAAAGUUUGUGGUAUCGCUAGAAAGGGUGCUUACGAGUUAUAAACUAUGGACGGCAAGGUUUUACCUUCGAGUUGGAAUACUAUUCAUUUGAAGAAAUAUUAUUUCUGAGAGAAAGAAAUACCCCCGGUCAGGUAUCACUUAAUUACGAUUUUUGUUUUGUACAGUUAAGAUUAUACUAACAAUUUUAGAUGAUAGGAAAAAAGCUAGCCCACACCAAAUGAUGAUAUUAGACCUGAAAGACACACAGAUGCAAAAUUAUUCCUGGUCUAGGGUUACAAUCUUUCUGAUGGAAAUAAAAAGGGUUAAGCAGUCAUCAUCUAAAAAAAUAUAUACCUCUGAGUCCUGUAUAUUUUUUCCUUUUCAGAAAAUGGACCACAUGGAAGAAAUAAUCAAGUGCUCGAGAUUUCAUACUUCAAAGCUCUAACACUUGGGGACUAUAUAUAUGGAAGGCAAAGAAGACUAAAAAAGUCAGAAUUCGAGUCAAGCCUGGGUCAAUCUACCCAACAAAUCGAAAGUUAAAGCAAAUCAAGAGCCAAAAAGACAAGCCUGAUUCAAAAACCUAUGAUGAAGUAUACACUCGCAGACGUAAAUUACAAAAUCUUACGAGAACCUAGGUUAAAGGCAAUAUUUAGUCAUGGGUUGCAAGAUAUACCCUUGAAUUUUAUAAAAUCUGUUAUAAAGAAAACAGUUAUGAAAGAGUUGUAGAUGCUACUUGAAUACAUGUAAAGUGUUAUACAGUUUGAAAGUUCAAAAAUACAAAACUUCCUCAAAUUAUUCAACAAAUAUGUAUGUUCCUACUUCUUCUUUCGUAUGUUUACACCAAUAUGAAGUUGAGACGUCUUCUUCAUUAAGUGUCGUUUAUAAAAGGGCCCUCUUUUAUAAUUCGUGCUUAUUCAAAAAGUCACAGAGUAUUGAAGCAUUUUUAAAUGCAAUAUAAGAGAGUAGAACAGAAACUCUAAAUAAGAUAUUAUAAGAGUUGAACAAAAACUCCGAAUGUAAUAUUAUAUAAACUUGGUUAAAACUAAGUAUAUACUUAGUUCAAACCUAAGUAUUUGAUACUAAACCCCAAAACGGACCAGGGGUAAAACAUCCCAAUCAUUCCACCAUAAACAAAAACAACACAACAAACUUUCCAAACAAACUUCCAUUAUGGGGCAGGUUCUGAACCAGUACUAUCAGGAGGAUUCAAGAUGGCAUCAUCUGCAGCAGCAGAAGGUUCGACUUGAGCAAAAGAGGUUUGAACAUCAGCUUUACCAGGAGUAAGUUCAUCACCCUCGGGAAUGCCGACCUCAGGUGAAGAAAAGUUUUGACUCUGCUGAGUUUUCUCAAUAGUUUCCUUAGUUUUUGCAAUUUCAGCAGCUAAGUCAAAGCUUUCUUGGCUUGCCUCCAUUAAAGUUUCGAGGCACGUGUUCAAAAAAGCCCAGCUUACAUCAACAGUAGCUUUGUCCUCAAAGGCUUCAUAAUACCUCUCCUACUGCUCAAUUUUGGCUCUCAACUCUUCCUUUUCAGUUAAAGCAGCAUCAUAAGAAGCUUGUAAAUGGGCGAGUGACCUUUCUAAGAACUGAACCUUGCUGGAAGACGCACAAAGAUCUUCUUGAGUCCGGGUGAGCAUUUGAACAAGCUCCCCGGCGUAAACUUCCUUCUGGUUAAGCAUUUCUUUCAAACCCCUAAUUUCUUCAGUGGCUUUGGAAAGCUGCUCGGCAAAUGAAGACUCGAGAAGGUAUUUAUCCUUGCCUACUUGACUGGAAGAGGCUUUCUCAAUCGCCAACUCUGGUGCCAUUACCUUCACUUGUUGAUCCAAGGUACACUUCUCCUCAUCUAAAACUUCUUUCUCAAGCUGAAGUCCUUCAAACUGCUCCUUCCAGUUGUCUUCUUUGUUGCAAUAGUCAUUCAUUAACUACUCAGUAUGGAAAAUCCUCUUCAUCAGCUCCGUGCCUAUUAGGUUGAUCUAUACGAGAAAAGGAAAAUGUGAUUAUCAAAUAAAGAUGAAAACAAAAUCACAAGCAAAAUAAAAAGCUAAGGCUUAUACCUUUAAAGAUGAAUGGACAAUAUCAUCCAUCCACGUUAAAUAAUUAUGGAUUUCCAAUUUGGACUUCUCAACUGGGCCAAUCAACGGUUUCAGCCAUACAUCAGCUUGGCCAGAUUUCUUUAGAAGAUUACCAUCCUCGGGGACUUCGAUGGUAACGUUUUUCAUUAUCCUACUAUUACUAGAAGAACCAAAUUCAACAUGAGAAGUGGUAACAGUAGGGGCAAUUGAGGGAGUCAAAACAGCCACGGGUGGAGCAAUGGCAACAACAAUAGGUGCAGGAAACUGAGGAUCAACAAGUGCAGAUACUGGAAAAGAGGCAAGAGGCGCUUCCUCAGAAACAAAGCCGAAGUCUUCACUAUCAAACCCAUGGGAAAAAAGUUGUUUUGUAGAGUCACGGGGUGCGGCAGUCAUCUCUUCAUCAAAGCUCACCAAAGUGGCACUUUCGGUCUCAUGCAUGGGAACAGAACUGGGAGGAGGAGUAGCUUCAUCAUCCGAAAUGACACGUCUCCUAGCUCGAGGCUUACGUACUAACGAUCCCUCAUCUCGUUCCUCUUCACCCUUGGAACCGUGAGCUCUAUCAGCUUUUCUCUUUGAUGAGGAACUCAAGAUCAUCUCUUGAGCCAUAGACAGAGAAAGUUUCGAUGCAGCAAUAGAUGCAGUGCUAACACCCCGAAUGGGAAACCCUAGCAGAAGAAGAAGUUAGUAAAUUUCAAAUAAAUAUGAAAGCAAGGUAGAACAUUGAAUAGAUACCAUGAGUCUUCACUUUCCAACAAAACCUAUUAGAAAGGUACUUCCAGGACAUUCCUUCCAUAGGAGCAACAACCAACAAUUUUUCUACCCAAGCACGGAAGUCUGGAAUUUCUUCAACAACUUCCAUGGUUGCUGAAAAGAGAGAAAAAAAAAACCACGAGAUUGUAAGUUCUUUUUUCUUCAAUAAAGAAAAAAGAAGAAGAAAGUAUGAAAAUAAACUUACGUGCAAAGUUCCAUUUUUCUGGAAAAAGGCAUGUUCUCUUCACCCACUAAACCACUUGUGGGAACAACAACGAAACGAGCAUACCAGCCAUGAUCCUUGUCAUCUUCAGGGCUAACCAAAACUCUCUUACUUCUGGCCACGAGAGUAAAUACCCCAGAACGAAACAACUUGGGGGAAUAAAGAUGAAUCAAGUGAUAGAAGGUAAAGGGUAAAAAGGCCAAAUUAGACAAGUAUCUUAAGCAUGCCACAACUCUCCAUACGAUAGGACCAAUCUAUCCUAAACAAACGUUAAAAAAACGGCAAAAUUCUAUAAUGACUGGGUCAAUAGGUGGUCUGAAGCCUAAUGUAAAGGGAUAGAAUAACCAGCUUUGUAUGAAGUGAUCCUUUGAUUUGCGUUAGGGACUAAAAUUGGGAAAUCAACUUUUCAAUGACAUUCUCUUCGCACAAGAGAAAUCAAACCCUCAGUAAUCUGGGAAGGGUAAACAUCAGCACGAUCAUGAAAAGUCAUAGAAGUAACUUGGUUUCUAAUUGAUUCAUGAUCAGUAGAGAAGGAAAGUUCAACGGGGAUAAUUUCAUCAACAGUGUGUUCCCGAAGAGGUUUACUUGAAUCCCUACUUCUGGUAGAGGAUCUAUGAGAAGAAGAAGCCCUAGUUCUAGAAGAUGAAGGGGUAGCAACACUGGGUUGAGAAGUAGAACCACGAAUAGAUACAGAUCUUAAGCUACGUAAUCUGCCACCUGUUCUACUCCUGACAGGAGCAGAUGAAGAGGGAAGUUCAUCUACUAUAACUACUCUACGAGGAUCAGGGUUUGGUGAAGACAUGGUUGUAUAAGAAAAUAAUACUUGCCAGUAAACAAGAACUAUUAUGGAAGAAGAAUACUGUAGAUUGAAGGUUUUUCGUGAAAGCAAAGGCAUAAGAGGUAUUUUUAAGAAAAAGCAAGCGUUCUGUAAAGGGAGUCAUGAUGGAAACAUCAUAAUGAAACAUUCACUUCGUGACUGACGCAGCCGCAAAAAAGCCCUAACAAUCGCUGAAGAGUUGUAGGUCCAAUCAAUGAAUGCCAUGUGGAUUAAAUAUAAGUGACAUACGACGCAUUAAUUCUGAAGAAGGCACAAUAAUACAUAGGAAACGGCGGCAAAAGAUUCCCGCCAUAAAUGUGAUCCACUUCCCAAAUAUUCAAUUGUUGAAUAAUUGGCAAGUGGGGGGACUAUAUGUAUUGGUAAAAAUAAAUAUUACAUGUGGAAUUAUAUAUGUGGCUGAUAUGGCAAGACACGUGGAUCACUAAGAAAGCAACAGUUGGAGAGUUGCAUUAAAAGAUGCACGAGUCGUAAUAGGUACGAUUAAAUCACUCACGAGAUGAAAGAGGUACGGUCGCUCGAGCCUAAAUUACUAAAUGAAGAUACACUGGUAUGAUGAAUCAAGACAGUAAAGAAGGAGGAUUCACGAAUCGUCAAUUAAUGAGGAAGAAGGAUCAUAAAUGUUACACAAUCUUCAUGAACAGUUACGAUUGCCAAUUGUAAUGUCUCAUUAAUGUCAUUAAUGCUCAUAAUGAUUCGGUCAUAAAAGGGAAGAAACGUUGUACUUAUAGAUUCCUAUAUAAGGGAAGGAGAUUUCAUUUGUAAGGACACGUUCUGAUUAUUAUUGGAAUACAAUUACUUUCUUUUGCUUUCAAUCGAUUACUUUGCUAUUUCUCAUAUUAAUUUCCUUUCUUAUUAUUGAGAGAAUACGAGAUUUCUUGCUUAUCAGUAGCCCGAGUACUUCUAAAAGUAGGCUUUGACUGAGAAUCUAAUUUUUUGGUUAAACACCCUAUUACCCUCAAAGAUUCUAAAAAAUAUUGAUAAAAUCCAACGAAACUUCUUAUGGGGUACAAAUGCCACCUCCAAAAAACUCCAUCUUAUAAAAUGGGACACUAUCACCAAGGACAAAAAGGAGGGUGGUUUAGGGAUUCAUACGGCCAAGGGCAAAAACUUAGUAAACCUUGCCAACCUGUCUUGGAGGCUCCUCUCAAACACUCAUUCCCCCGGGUAAAAAUAAUUCAUGCGCUUCAUAGUACUAGAAAAAUUUAAGAAUUCUUCGUUUAUUUGGUAUAACAUUAUUCAUGGAUGGGAUAUUUGUAGCAAAGGUAUUAGAUACAAAUUAUCAAAUCUCAGUGUUUGGAACAACAGUUGGAUUCAUCAAUCCCCACCAUUACGCCAAUACAUUUAUGGUCCCCUAACCCAGCAUGACGAUAGGCUAGCUAUUAAGGAUAUAUGGAUUAAUAAUCAGCGGGACUUAUCAAAAAUUUCCAUAGAACUUCAACCCUUCUUGAUCAACAAAAUAAAUUCCACCACUCCUAACUCCAAAAACUUUGACACUCCUAUUUGGUCACUAACCACAAAUUGUCACUUUACUAGCAAGCCGUGCUACAACCUAUUAGGCACUCAAUCAGACGAUGGUAAGGAUUAAGCUUGGAUUUGGAAGAUGACUUGUCCAAACAAAAUAAAAUUCUUGAUUUGGAAAUGCUACCAUGAGAGACUACCUACUAGAAGCUACUUAAAUCACAUUGGUAUAAACAUUGACCCUACUUGCACCUUUUGCGAGAGUCAUAAGGAAACCAUUACCCACAUAUUCAUGCACUGCACAACCGUAAGAGAUUUUUGGCUACAGUUAGGGAUAGAUAUGGAAAGCUGGAAUAUAACUGGUAAUUGGUUGAUCAACAUUCGCGAUUACAACUGUUUACUAAAAAAGGGCAUCAUCAAUUGGAAAGAAUUGUUUCCUUUUGCUAUAUGGACUAUUUGGGUGAAUAUAAACAACAACUUAUACAAUAACACCACAAACAAAGAAUUCAGUAUGCUUACAAGCUAUCAGUGGAAUUUAAACUCCUCACUGACAAGGAAGAUAUGCCACAACAAAAAAUCCCAAUCUCAGUAAAAUGGCUUAAGCCAACUUGUAACCACAUUAAGCUUAACAUCGAUAGUUCCUUUAAACAAGAAACUUCUCUAUGUGGCUUUGGGGGCCUGUUCAUGGACAAUAAGGGUAAGUGGGUGGUUGGAUUCCAAGGGUCUCUACCAGGUCGAUCUCCAUUGCAUGCUGACCUGAUGGCACUAAAGACAUGCCUACAUCUUGCAAUGGAACAAGGUUUCACUAACUUAGAAGUGGAAUCAGACUCUACGGAUGUCAUUAGCUGCUUAGAAAAUGGCAACACAUCCCUUAACAACAUUAUUCAUGAAUGCAGGUCAUUGAUGAACCAGAUGAAAGUUCAAACAAUCCAGCACAACUUCAGAGAGGCCAACAAGCCAGCACACAAGCUGGCUAAAAAUGCUAUUCAGGAAAGCAUUGGUAGGGAUCUUGCAAUUAUGUACUAUCCACCAUCUUUUGUAACCGCUGUCUUAUCCUAUGACUAUGAAGGUCCUGUCUACCUAGUUAAAAACAUUAGCAAAGAUGCAUGCUCUAAGCUUGCAUCGUUUGGAAAUAAAAAUGUCCUAUGUGACAUUAGUAGUUUCUUUAAUAGCCAAGUAGGUAAUGUGCCUUCGGACAAUGCUAAACUAUGUAAACUCUAUGUUAUGAUAUUUAUAUAAUAUAUCCCUGCUUAUAAAAAAUGACAGGUAGCAGAUAAGCACAGAGUCAUAGAAGGAACGUAACAAUUAAGAGUCACAAGCCAAUAAGGAAGGCAUCAACUUCAACUAAAACAUAUAAGUGCAAAAUAUCAUGUAAGAAGUAUCAUGAAUGCUAACAACGCCAAAUAAAGUAUGUAAGAGUAAUCAUGUGCCAACAAUUUACAAUUAAAUACAUGAAAGAUGCCUAAGAGUUUAAACCGAUAGAAAUCUCACAUAUAAGCUCGAGUACGUACUCGUCACCUCGCGUACACGAAUUUUAAAUUGCACAAAUGACUCAAUGCCUAAGGGAAAUCCUCCCCCCCCCCACAAAAGGUUAGGCAAGAUACUUACCUCAAAGAAGCUAGAUCAUUAUUCUAAAAUGAACUUCUUGAGUGAAACAACCUCCGGACGGCUCAAAUCUAACCAAAAUAGGUUCUAAUCAUAAAUAAAACUCAUAAGAAAUAUUUUCGGAUAAUAAAGCUUCAAUCUUUAACAAAAAUAAAAAAGUCAACCUAAAAGGGCCUGCAUCUCGGAACCCGAUAAAAUUCACCAAACCCGAACACUCAUUCUGAUACGAGUUCAACCAUGCGAAAAUUAGCAAUUUCCGACAUCAAUUCGUCCUUCAUAUAAUCAUUUUUCAUUUUGAAAGACUUCUUCAAAAAUUCCCAUUUUCCCUCUACUCAAAACACUAAUUAUAAGAUAAAACUAAAGAUGGAAUCAUGAAAUAUAAUAAAUUUCGGGUGUUUGUUUGAAAAAACCAUGAAAGAUCGCUCAAAACCGAGGUCUACAACUCAAGAUAUGGUAAAAACGCCAAACCCUCGAUUUUGAAAAAUAUACUCUGUUGCCCAGGUAUUUACACAUUGCGAUCGUGGAAGAGAUAAUGCGACCGCGAAGAAGAAAUUACUACUGCCCAAAAAUAUAACACAUGUGAUCGAUAAGAAGGGAACAACUGCUUCCCAAAGAAACGUACUACGCAAUCGCGAAAGAGCACGUGCGAUCGCAAAAGGGGAAGAAAAAUACCAGCUGCUACGGCUAUGCUACGCGAACGCGGACAUCUGACUGCAUAAGCUUCGCGAAAGCAUGACCACAAUCGCGUUCGCGGUGAACAAAAAUCCUGAGCUCCAAGGAACCUUACGCAAUCGUAUCUUCAUCUUCGCAAUCGCGAAGAGUAACGGUAACAUCAGAAACUAGCAACUCAAAAACCUGAAGAAAUGGCCCGUAGCCCAUCCAAAAUACACCCAAGGCCCCCCGAGACCCCAUCGAAACAUACCAACAUGUUCCAUAACAUAACACAGACCUGCUCGAGAUCUCAAAUCACAUCAAACAACGUCAAAAGCCACGAAUCGCACUACAAAUCAAACUUACGAACUUUCAAAUCUUCCAACUUCCAAAACUCGUGCCGAAAUAUGUCAAAUCAACCCGGAAUGACGUCGAAUUUUGUACGCAAGUACCAAAUGACAUAACUGAGCUAAUCAAAGUCACGGAAUCGCAAUCCGACCCCGAUAUCACCAAAGUCAACUCUCGGUCAAACCUCUCAACCUUCCAAAAUUUCAACUUUCCAAUUUCAUCGAAAUGCUUCCAAUUACCUUACGGACCUCCAAAUCCAAAUCUGGACGCACUCCUAAGUCCAAAAUCACCAUACUAAGCUUUUGGAAUCCUCAAAAUACCAUUUCGGAGUCGUCCACACAAAAGUCAAACUCCUGUCAACUCUUACCGCUUAAGCUUCUAAAACAAGAAUCCUUCUUCCGAAUUAAUCCGGAACCAUCUGAAACCCGAACUCGACCACAGACCCAAGUCACAACACAUAACACGAAGUUGCUCGAGACCUUAAGCCACCGAAGAGGCGCUAAUUCUCAAAAUGACUGGUCGAGUCGUUAUAGAAUUAAUUGGGUUUAGAAUAAGAUUUUAGAACUGUAAUGGGCCAAAAUGAGUUUAACUGGUCAGACUUGACCUUAGUAUUCAUUUAUAAGGCUGGCCCAAUUGUCGUACAUUCACAAGAUGCCUUUAUCUUUGAUUGCUACACUAGCCUACUAGUCAAUAAUUCCAUAAUUUGGCCCACUUCCAUAAACGAUAAGUCAAUUCAAACUUCUAAAAAUAUUUUAUUCAUUAAUAAUUUCAUAAUAUAAUACCAAAGAAUAGAAUAAUGCUUCAAAUAUUGGCCAUGUGUUCAUACCUAAUCCGUGGUUGAUAUUAAACAACUCAUCAAUGUCUAAAAUAAUCAAUGUUAGCCUAUGUGUUCAUACUCGAACCUUGAAUGGACCUAUUUCAACUAAUAAAAGGGUCGUGUGUGCAUUCUCGCUCCAUGAUCACCGUGUUUAGCCAAGUAGACUUACACGUUCCGUGGUUUGACACACUUAACCAACUAAUGACCUUGUGUGCCUACAUGCUCGUGGGUCAAAAACAAUCAAAAAGAGUUAAUCAAUAAUCAGCGGUAAUAAUAAGGAGUAAAAAAAUAUGGAAUAAUCCAAGAACUAGUUAAAGCCAAGAUAAGUUGAUUAAGUGAUCAUGCUAGAAUCACAGGAUUGGGGUAAUGCUUCACACUUUCUCCCUGGUCAAUAAAAUUGCUUAUCCGGUCUUUUAUGUUCGCGAACCAUAAUAAUUGAAGUCAAACCUUCCUUUGACUAAGGAUUCAAAAAAAAGGUGACUCAGAACACCAUAACUCAAUUCGGAGUGGCGACUGCGUAACAAUAAUAAAGUAAUCCCUAUUCAAAAUAAUAUCGCUUUAAUGGGAAAAAACUCUUAACGAAAGAGGAGGUGUGACAUUGUCAAUUGAUUCUCCAUCUUAUCGCCAUUUGUGGUGAGCCAUGAUUAACCAUGGUGAGUUAAAGGAUGUGAACAAGUUUAAACUUAGAUACAUAAAUCAGAUCCUGGAAUAAUGUGUUCUUAAUUCAGUUCUUAUCUUAAAGUACUCGCAAAUUUUAAGUAUACAUGGUCGCCAAGUAAUAUAUGAUUGUAAGUCCAUAUAUCGUACCCACAGGAACUUGUGAUUAAUUAUCAACUAAAUUAAACUAAGACAAUUAAUCUAUUCAAGCGAAUCCUAAAGUAUGAAUAUUUAACUAAACCUAAUCUAGAGUAACAAACUAAGAGAUUAACGGAAACAAGUUGGCAAAAAUAGACACGAAUUCAAUGAGAGACGAUAUUCUAGAGUUAUGGGUUAGCUAACAAUCCCGUUGAGUUUUCUACCUAAUUUUCCAAUUAAUUUAUCUAGUUUAUUGAUUGACAGGGUUAAUAUUACUCGUAGCCUUCUCCCGAAGUACUACUCGCUUAUUCAAGCUAACCUAACGCCUAUAUUCUUAUGGAAUUAGGAUUAACAAGAACACAUUAAUAAUUCCUGUAUAAUAACCAAGCAAGGCGAUUAGAUAUAUCCCUAUCCUAACCACAAAUCCGUUCCCGAUGCUCGAGUUCAAGAUCUUGCUCUACUCAAUCUUAUAUGCAAUCUAGAAUUCCCUCUCCUUAGUUAAAUCCUAGAUUCAUAGAUCGUAUUCAAUUGGUGGUCAAGCAAUAAAAUAAUUAAGCGCAAGAUGGAAUAAAUAAACCAAUAUGAUAAAAUAAUAAGAACAAUUCAAGCUUCAAAACUACAACGUUCAUGUAGCACCCAUAACUCUAGAACUAAUAAACUAUGAGAUUAAAGGAAAAUAAGAGAAUAAAAACUAGUUAGAAGCCUCCUCCAAGUGUGGUGUGUGUUCCUCCACGUGAAUUCUCCUUCAAAGUAUGUUAUAUAUCUUCCAAAUUAGGUUUAAACUUGCUUUUAUAUAAGUUGAGGGGGUCUUGGGCCGAAAUAAUCUUGUCCCGGGCGAAGUAGGAAUGAUUUCCUGUCACCAGCGCCCAGGGAAGCGUGGGGCCCUGGCCCUGGCACUGGAAAAUUGGACAUUCUGUAAACGGCGCCACAGGUGGCGUGGGGUACUAGAAUUCAACAUUGUCCGUUUUUCUCUGCUUUGGCUCUAAUCUCGCACCUUUCAACCUCUAUUGCCUCCUGAUGAUUCAUACAUAUAAAGACACCACGAAUUAACAUAAAUCAAUACAUUUUACAUCUGAAAUACACGAAACACAAGUAAAACAUGAGGCGAUAUACAUAUAAAUAUAUAUAUAUAUAUAUAUUUUAAUCUAAAUAUCAACACCCUACUCUUAGAAUCUUGCCCGUCCUCGAGCAACGGGACUAUCAGCUACACCCCAACAACGUACACGUCUCAACUAGAAAGGAGCAUUUCAAUUUUUAACCAUACACUCUACCCUUGACAAUGGUCGAUACCGGCAAUCAGGCACGAACAUACAAAUUUUACAUUCUUCACAUUUUAAACAUGCCAAGUCUACUAUUUCAAUUCAAUCAAUUCAAACAACCUAUCCUUAACCACCCUACCUCAAGAGCCGACUCGUUACCCCUAAGCGCCCUCAACUCGCGCACUCACCCAAUAAGAGAAGUUUACAAUAUUACCAAUCCUUUAUGAGAUCAUGUGCCCUCACCAACAAACAAAAGAGGGAAUAUAAAGUAAUCCACACAUUCAAGUAUGCCUUUGUACAUAAUUUAAGAACAUCAAACAAUUAAACAAAAUUCACUCACUCUCACAAAGAAUUUCAUGUGUGUCCCAUGGUCAUACCAUAAGAUUACCCGUAGUGUACAUCUUUACUAAUCUAAGCUAGCCAAAUCUAGGAUCAAUUAGGACUUUAAGGCUAUAAUGUAGGUUAAGGGACGGGUAUGAUACAUUUAGGAAUAGUGACUAACCCUCCUAAGCAUUUUAAUACACUACACUCACAAUUCGAGCAUAUCUUCUUCUCAAUCAAUUCACUCACCAUACACCAUAUAUAACACAACCCUCUUUUUAAUUAAGCACCUCUAUAUUUUCACUAGCAAGAAUUAGUAGUAUUAGAAGAUGUGUGCUUUUCUUAAUGAUUUGAACUAUUCUUUUUCUUUCUUGCAAUCUUUUUCUUUUUUUCUCUUUUUUUUCUACACACACUCCAUACAUUAAGGUUCAUCGGCUAGUGACCUUUUUUCAACUUUAGUGCACCUUAAGGGCCCUUCCAUGGUUCCACUUGAAAGCUACUCCCCAAUAUCUCACCUUACUUCUUUUAACGACUAAGUGUUAGGUAAAGGUUCAACAAUCUCAAAUUAAGAACAAAAUAGGGGUACAACUUGUAAUGUGGGUGCCAAAGAAAAGGUCCAUAGGCUCAAAGGGGCUAGUAACGGAAAAUUUUAUCUUCAAGUGACAAGCACAUCUAUGGUCGAGCAAGAAACACCUAUGUCAUCUCCUAGACUAGCACAACUUAAUGAUUUCGCUUCGAUUAACACACGGGGCAAGUUCUAGACUACACGGGAUAUCACAGAAGAUCACAAUAUCUCACACACAUAUUGCACAUGACUCAAUCGAGACAGUUCUAUUCAACUCUCAACUCAAGAAAGAACAUAUAAUUGAGAAAUUUUAAGCAAUAUUGCACUAUGUAGCAUACAAGUCGAACAACUGAGAAAAGGCGUCACAAAAUAGGCUAUUUACUUUACUCAUGCAUCACAAUUCAAAUCAAAUGUAUAGGAAGAUAGAGUGCAUGUGCCAGCACCAAACAUGUUAGUAGGUAUCUCAGAGCAACUCAGUUUCUUCCUACCAUACUACUAAAAACAAUAAAGUACCCGGUUCGCACUACACCCUUGGAAAUGAACUGACGCCCAAAGAAAUACCAAGGGAUACUACCUAACUAUCCUAAAAAAUAUCUUUUUGGUAUUUUUAAUUGGACUUUAUCCCUCAAAUAAAUUGUCCAACAGAUCUAUCAUCGGAAAAAGUCCAAGCUUUUCCUAUGUUUUUUCUUUCUUGUAUUUUUGUAUUUUGUUUUCUUUUUCUUUUUUCGAAAACAAACUAGACUAUAAGCUAGACUAAGUAAAAACUAAUAAAAAGUAACAAAUUGAUACAAGUUAUACAAUAUACAUCACAGGCAGUAGUUCUCCCACCCCACACUUAGCAUAUACAUAGCCCCCGAUCCAUGUAAAAAUGUAAAAAUAGUAGGGUGAAAAGAAAACUCCCUGCUAGUCGGAUUCCCCCUCCUCAUCAUGCCCGCCAUCUGCAGUUUUGGGUGCAUCAUUAUCAGGUCCUAGAGGCACCAAAGACAUGGGCCUCGUGACAUCAUCACCAUUCUCGUCCUCUGUGUCGGAGCCUUUUGUAAGUGUUUGCAUUAUCUGACUAGUGAACGGGGCUGCCAGGUGCUAUCCCCAACAUCUCAUUGGAAGAACCCGGCAAAUUAUUGCAUAAAUGCAUACGCCCCUCGUCUGAUACACCCAUCCUGCUCAUGAAUACAUUUAAAGAGUUAUGGAGAUACUUGUUGAAGUUCUUGUCUCUUUCAUUCCGUGCUGCCUGAGUGAGCUUAGACGUAGUAUCCAACAAGGAUGUGAUGUACAACAACCCUUUAGGAUCCUCCACCACCUCAUCAUACCCUAGGUAUUCCGCACCUCCCGGGAGAGCAUAUACUGCGUGAGCAAGCUGUCAAAGAAAAACCUCUUAAUCUGCCACCCAAAUCGUGUGUGUGCCAUCUCCCCCAACAUGAUCUCACCCAUAUUAGUGGGUCUCCCAAACAUCAAAAAGAAUAUCACACACGCUCGAGCCCGAGUGCAUUCGAUGUUGUGUUUAACUGGCAUGAGUCGAGCCUGCACGAAGUUCUGCCACACUUUGGCGGUCUUGUUGAAAUCAGAGCAAACCAUCUGAAGAUGGAUCUCACCUUUCUUUCUAGUCCACUUGGCAUUUGAAUCGACGCCACAAAGAGUGUGACGUAUUUCCGUGUAGCUUGGGCUUUUGACAAAUUUCUUUAGCGUCCUCGAGUAGGAGUUCUUAACCCCCCAAAAUGCACAUAAAGACCGCCUAUCCAGUGGAACGUCCUUAACAUAUACAUAUGACCUAAACAAGUCUGCAGUCCAGUAGAUGUACAGUUCCCGUACCAUGCUCAAAUUUGCAUGACCGGGGAAUUCUAUGAAUUUUUCCAUGUUUAGUACUCGCAAUCGGCCAAGCACGUCCGGGAAGUUCCUUUCUAAAUCUUUCACAUUAAUCCCAUCUUAGAGACGUACCGCCCAUAUGGCACGAAGUCCUUAUGCCAUGCAAUAGCAGCAUCACUGGUUAGUUUCAAACGAGGCCUUGAUUGCAAUGGUGUCUGUUGUGAUCCUUCGACAACUUGUUUCCCCUUAGCUUGCCUUGAGGAUCCUUCUCCUGGCUUGCAAUUUUUGGGCACGAGGGAAGUGGUGGAGGACUUCCCUAUUACACUGCCUUUGUUUGCAUUAUCACGAGCCAUAGAAACCUACAACACAAAUAAGCAUGAAUGUGAGAACGAAUCAAGAAAUCCGCCUAUGGUUGUCGUGCUAGUCAAAAAAUGACCCCACACUUAAAACCGAAGGCUCAAUGUAUAAUACUCACAAUCGUGGUCUAAAACGCACACGUGUUGCACCACAAGAAUGGGUAAUCAAGACUUCCCCAUGCCAUAUAAUAGCUAAAAGGCACUAACUAUGCCACACAAAUAAGUGAUUGAUCACGGCGAAGUGAAUUAACCUCAAUGCAAGAAAGUGGAAUAUGGUACUUAAUAUUUACAACUACUACACUAAAUUAGCUAAUUCUACAAAGUGCUACAACAUACAUAAUAUAGGAUGCAUGGUGUGGGCGACCUGUGUGCAUUAAAACUAAGCUCCCAAGUAUGUAAAAUUAUACCCACACACCCCACACUUAGCUCGAUGUCACAUAUAACUACAUUCGGUUACUCAGACUUUACCGGUGCACAAAAUUAUCAUUCAAACAUUUUAACAAACACCUUGUGGGCAUGACGUGUGUGCACUUUUAUUUAACAAUGGUGGAACAUGGUGAUCCUCCCAAAUUUCAACGAAGUAGAGGGAAUUCUAGUUUACUACUUCGUAUAUAAUACGACCACAAACUAAUUUCGUCCCACAUUCAGGCCACCAGCCAUAAAACAAGUCUUAAGAAGCAACUUAGGUGCAAAAUUUGGGGAUUAGGGCAAUUGGGGGAGGAGAAUGUUUAUUAUCAUCUAUCAAUUAAAAGAACAAGAAGAAGAAGAAGAAGAAGAAGAAGAAGAAAACAUACCUAUAGGAUUUAGGAUGAGAGUAAGAGAGGAGCUUGAGUAAGUUGAGAGAGAGGAUGAAGAAAGCACGCGGCUGAAGCUUGAGAUAGGGAGAGAUUUACGCUAAGAUGAGAGAGAGAAAUAGAGUUAUGGUUUUGGAGUUGUGUUUUAAUUUAAUAUGGGUAUGGGUAUGGGUCAUAAUGUGGGUUAUAAUUUUAGUAUAGAUGGGUAUAUGGGUUGGGUUAAUGGGUUGGGUAUUAAUCUAAUAAAUAAAAACAAAACAAUACACGAAAACAAAAAAAAACUUACCUGCUCACCCCCCAGCCCAGCGCUCUACGCAAGGCUAGCGGCGGGGAGUUUUGACAAUCUGUAAAGGGCGCCCCAGGCAGCGUGGAGCACUGGCCUGGGCGCUGAUUCGUGAAUUUAUUUUUUUGAUAACAUCCCGAUCCCUCGAGCCCUUUAUAUAUCCAAUUUACAUGCCCCGCACCAUUCUGCCUAUAAUUUCUAUGUCUACAAAGAAAAUGCAAACUCUAGUCUACUCUAACUAAAAAAAAUUAAAAAGCUAAGCUAUGAAAGAAAUAAAAUUUGGGUUGCCUCCCAACAAGCGCCUGAUUUAACGUCGCGGCACGACGCAGGGCCUCGCUUACUCAUCAGCGAGUACUACUUUGGUUUUCUCAUGAUUAAUGAUUCCUCCCCAAUAGUGCUUGACUCUGUGUCCAUUCACUAAAACUUUCCUUUCACCAUGUAAAGCGUGCAACUUAAUUGCACUAUAAGGAGUGACUCUCACCAUCUCAAAUAGACCUGACCAUCUCGAUUUCAACUUUUCAGGAAACAACUUGAUCCUAGAAUUGAAAAAUAAUACUUGUUGGUCUGGUUCGAAGUGACGUGGUUUGGAACUCAUCUAACUUAUUCAACUGCAAGAGUCUCUUCUCGCCGGCGGCUUAGAGGUCCAUAUUUAACUUUUUAAUGGCCCAAUACACUUUGUGUUCAAGUUCAACAUGCAAGUGACAUGCCUUCCCAUAGACAAGCUUAUACGGAGACACCCCAAUUGGUGUUUUGUAGCAAAUCUAUAUGCCCACAAGGCAUCAUCUAACUUUGCAGCCCAAUCUUUUCUAUUCACACUCAUUGUCUUCUCUAAUAUUUGUUUUAUUUCUCUGUUAGGGACCACAACUUGUCCACUUGUUUGCGGAUGAUAUGCUGUGGAAACUCUAUGGGGGACUCCAUAUUUAGCUAGAAGGUUAUUCAACAACUGAUUGCAAAAAUGUAUCCCUUCAUCACUAAUCAAGUCCGUGGAGUCCCAAAUCGAGAAUAUGUUCUUCUUCACAAAUGCAUCUACCACCAUGACAUCAUUCGUUAGCAAUGUAACCACAUCUACCCAUUUUGACACGUCGUCAACUGCUAGCAAGAUGUAUUUGUUUCAUCUGGACAAUGGGAAUGGUCCCAUAAAAUCUAUCCCCCAUAAAUAAAAAAUCUCGACCUCCAGGAUGUUAUUCAAAGGCAUCUCAUGCCUCUUUGUGAUUGUUCUUGUUCUUUACCACCGGUCACACUUCUUAACAAAUGCAUGAACAUCCUUGAAUAAUGUUGGCCAAAAGAACCCAGAUUGUAAUACCUUUGCAGUUGUUCUAUUACCUCCAUGAUGGCCCCCAUAAGGUGAUGAAUGACAAUCAUACAAUACUAAUUCCACCUCUUUUUUUGAAAUACAUCUCCUCAUCAACUGAUCAUCAUACUGCUUUUACUAGAGUGGAUCAUCCCAGUAGUAGAUGUUCACAUCAUGUAGAAACCUCUUUCUAGCUUCAGAUUCAAUUUCAAGAGAAAGUACCCCACUCACAAGAUAAUUCACAUAGUCCGCGUACUAUGGGGGAGGGUCUUGGGUGAUAGCAAAAAGUUGCUCAUUAGGAAAUACCUCUUUAAUUUGUCCACCCUCAUCUACGUGGUCAUGAUUUUCCAGCCUUGAUAGAUGGUCAGCUACAUGAUUCUCUAUGACCUUUCGAUCUCGUAUUUCUACAUCAAAUUCCUGCAACAACAAAACCCAUUUCAUCAAUCUAGCCUUGGAUUCCUUUUUUGUAAAUAGAUAUCUGAUUGUUGCAUGAUCGGUAAAGACUAUGAGUUUUGUUCCCACCAAGUAUGCCCAAAAAUUCACAAAGGCCCACACAACGGCCAACAACUCCUUUUCAAUGGUGGUGUAAUUCACCUGUGGAUCAUCAAGAGUCUUAGUUGCAUAGUAGAUGGAAUAAAACAUAUUGUCCUUCCUCUGGUCUAGCAUUGCCCCAAUAGCAUGGUCACUUGCAUCACACAUAAGUUCAAAUGGUAAGGACCAAUCUGGUGCCGCAAUAAUGGGGCAACAACCAACUGCUUUUUUAGCUCCUCAAAUGCUUCCAGGCAGGCAUCAUCAAAAGUGAAAGUUACAUCCUUUUCAACAACCUACAUAAAGGAGUAGCAGUUUUUGAAAAAUCCUUAAUAAAGCGUCGAUAGAAUCUGGUGUCCCAAGAAACUUCGGACACCCUUCACAGAAAUGGGUGGAGGUAAUUUUUCAACCGCCUCCACCUUUUCUUUAUCAACUUCAAUGCCGCUCCUUGACACUCUGUGGCCCAACACGAUGCUUUCCUGCACCAUAAAAUGCCAGUUUUUCAAAUUCAACACUAGAUUUGUUCUUCACAAUGGCCAACACCUUGCUCAAAUUCUUCAAACAACCAUCAUAAGAAGACCCAAAGACUGAAAAAUCAUCCAUAAAGACUUUCACAAUUGUUUCCACUAUAUCGGUGAAAAUAGUCAUCAUGCACCUCUGGAAAGUGGCCGGUGCAUGCCCCGCCAAUCUUUCCAACAUUUUGUCUAUGAAUGGAAGUGGGAAUUGGUCUUUGCAGGUUGCUUUGUUGAGCUUUCUGUAAUCAAUAAACACUCUCAACCUUGUCACAGUACGAGUAGGAAUUAGCUCAUUUUUCUUAGUCUCUACCACAGUCAACCCCCCAUUUUAGGCACACGUUGCAUUGGGCUUACCUAGUUGUUGUCAGAGAUAGGAAAGAUGAUACAUGCAUUGAGCCACUUAGUUACUUCCUUCUUCACAACCUCUUUCAUAAGGGAUUUAAUAUCUUUUGCUGCUCAACACUGGGCGGUAUCCAUCUUCCAGAAAUAUUUUAUGCAUGCAAAAUGAUGGAUUGAUUCUCUUAAUGUCAACAAUUGUCCAACCUAUAGCCUUUUUAUGCCCACGAAGUACUCGGAGCAAUUUCUCUUAUUGUAUAUUAGUCAAGCUGGAUGAGAUAAUCACUGACAAUGUCUCAGAGUUCCCCAAAUAAACAUAGCGCAGAUGUGCUGGAAAGGGGCUUAAGUUCUAGCUUUGGAGCUUCUUCAAUAUAUGGCCUAGGAGGGGUCAGAGUGACGGGACUGUCCAACUCCUCAAAUCUCCCAAUCCCAUGGACAUAACUGCAAGACAUGUCAAGUACUUGCUCAAUUUCUCCCAUCAUCUCAUCUUCAACUGUCUGGACACAGAUAGUGACAUCAAAUUGAUACUCGCUCCAAGAUCACAUAAAGCCCGCCCGAGUGCAUGUACCAAUCGAGAUUUGGAUAGUGAAACUACUCGGAUCCUUUAAUUUCUGAGGUAGCUUUCUUUAAAUUCUUAAUCUACAUUCCUCAAUGAGUACCACAAUCUCGAACUCGGUCAACCUCCUUUAUUUGCCACUAUGUCCUUGAUGUAUUUAGCAUAUUUGGGUAUUUCUUUCAAAAUGUCGACCAGUGGAAUAUUGAUUUGCACCUGCUUCAAAAU
This 76395-nucleotide long non-coding RNA is filed under the name Nicotiana tabacum (common tobacco). Its description in RNAcentral is "long non-coding RNA (NTAB_LNC007761)". Lineage: Eukaryota; Viridiplantae; Streptophyta; Magnoliopsida; Solanales; Solanaceae. The record is from RNAcentral.